CUCAAAUUGAUAAGUUUGAAUCUAAAUAUAUAUUUCUUUAUUACAAUAUAAUUUCUAAAUUAGAAUCAUUGACUAAUUAAGAUGAUUUAUUUUUGUAUAGCUUUUCAUCGUAUAAGAACUAAUAAAUAGAGUACUUUAAAGUAGUUAAAUAUUAUUUCAACAAAUAUCAAGAAAAGAUUUUAAUUUAUAUGGUGAUGUAAGAGCUAUUUAUUUGUUGAAGCACAAUCUGAUGUGAUCGUGGUGAUUAUAGUUGGUGGAGGUAGUUUGUGGUUAUUUGAUGGUGGCCAGAGAUGAUGAAUUGUGGUGGUACAUAGCUGGUUGUAAGGUGGUUGGUGCGCGGUGGAUAAUUACGGUAAAGGUGGGUGGUCGUGUGUAUUAAUAGUUAAUGAUCUUGAGAUUUACUUUUCUUCUACUCUGUGAUCCAAAUUGAUGAUAGAUUAUGUUAACUUUCUCUUCUAUAGUCUAAAAAUAUUUUAUAGUAUUUACUUCCUUUCAAGUCGAAUGUUUAUUAAUUACAGAAUAUUUAGUUUUGUAUCUGUAAGAAAAAUACAUUAUUCUCCUUAUUUUAUUCUCUUUAGUUCUCUAUAAAUAGAGAUUUAAUCUUUUAUUUUCAAUGUAAGAAACCAUUUAAUAAUUCAACGCCAUAUGUUAUUGUUUUUUCUCUUCAAUUUUUCUUCAUGUCUCAUCCAUUACAUAACAAAUGAUAUGUGGAGGUUGACAAUGGUGGUGAAAUUAACCAUUGAAAAUGACUGUUACUGAAGGUGAUUGGUGGCGAUGACUGGUGUUAGAGACGAUAGAUGUUUUAUUUUGGAUUUUGAUGAUUUACAAACUAGUGUGCAAGAGACCUAGUCCUUGUUGUGUUGAUUCAACGACAAGACAACUUCGUAUAGCUGUAAACUGUAUUGUCUGUGUUUUGGUUGGUAGUGUUGGGUUCGAAAUUAAGAGGACAUCAUGCGGAAGCUACUAGUUGCAAACUAUGAGAUGAUAAAUCACACUACAAAAAAAAUAAUACUAAAAACAUAAAAUUAUUAUAUGUGUUGGCCAAUUGGCCUACAUAUUAUAAAACCUAAUAUUAAAAAACAUAAAAACUAAUGAGAGAGAAAAUCUUCCCCUAAGAAAAACUCUUAAACGACUACAUUGUAAAUGUUAUGGUGUUAUGGUAUGAGAAGGGGAUCUUCUAUUUAUAGAUGUCCAAAACCUUUCCUCUAAGAAAAAGGUUUGCCAAAUAUGAAAAAGUUUUAUAUUUUCCUUUCAGGAAAAGUAAAAGUAAUUAUGGUAUUACUUUAUUUUUUUCAAGAAAAUUAAACCUUAAACUUGGUAAGAAAAUCUAGGAAAAAAACCUAACAAAUCUUUUUUUUUUGGCUUGAUUUUCUUGCCAUAAUUUGAUCCACCUUCUUUGCGUGCAUGAUCUUUGUUCUUUACAUAAUCUUCAUUACUGCUGCUUGUCAUGGUUAAAAAUAAAGUUUAAAAUAUUAUGGGUUAAAAAUGAUUUAAAAAAUAUCUUAUCUUUAUUUUUAAGGAUGCAGCAAUAGAAAUCUUGAAAAUAUGCUCUAAACUCCUUUUCCACAUGUAGCUAGACAAAGAUCUUCAUCAUCAUCAAAUUAAUUGAAACUUUAAUAUUAGCAUGUCUUCAACCUAAACAAAUGGACCUUUGAACCACAGGCUCUGAUACCACUUAUUGGGUUCAAAAUUGAGAGGACGUCAUAAGAAAGUUACUAGUUGCAAACUAUGAGACGAUAAAUUAGACAACAAAAAAGUAAUAGCAAAAAGAUUAUUAUAUAUUUUGGCCAACUGGCCUACAUAUUAUAAAACAUAAUAUUAAAAAACAUAAAAACUAAUGAGAGAGAAAAUUCCCCCUAAACAAAACUCUUAAAUGACUAUAUUAUGAAUGUUAUUGUGUUAUAGUAUGGGAAGGGGGUCUUCUAUUUAUAGAUGCACAAAACCUUUCCUUCAAGAAAAAAGUUUGCCAAAUAUGAAAAAGUUUUAUAUUUUUUUCAGGAAAAGUAAAAGUAAUUAUGGUAUUACUUUUAUUUUUCUUUCAAGAAAAGUAAAACUUAAACUUGGUAAGAAAAUCAGGGCAAAAACCCUAACAGGUAGCACUGUAGCGGAAAUAUAGUUGGCCCGGUAAACCUCGACCAAUGGCAUGCCUCCUAGUUUUUACUCUCUCUUAUAAAAAGAACAAGUGGUAAGAGCAAAACCUGAUUUUUUCAAUCAACAUCUAUCUCUCAAGCAAAAGCCAUUUCACGAAAAGAACAUUGCUUACAUUCAACAAGAGACCUGAUUAAGUAUUGUCCAGUCUUUGUUGAAUCUUUGAGUCUUGUAUCUUUUGUUCUUAAAUUAUAAAUCUACUCUUGAGUGAUAAAGAAUAGUAGAUAUUUUGAUUUGUCUAAGUCUUUAGGUUGAGUUAUAUUAGCUAGAGUUAGUUAGUCGAAUCAUCUUUUGUUUAGCCAAGUCUUCUUUAUCAUACUUGAUGUUUUCUUGGAUAAAGUUACCUAGGAGUGUCAACUAGAGUUAGUUGGUGAGUGGAUAGAGUAGAGGUACUGCAUAGGUCCUGUAAUAGAGGUGUUACAAGGUGGAUAGGAUUAAGAGUUUAAUCAUUUGUUAUUACUCGAAUUUGUAAUUACAAGUUGCUUGAAGUUAGUGGGUUGGUGGAAAAUCCUACUUCAUAGGUCGUGAUUUUUCCUUCCUUAAGUAAGGAAAUCUCCACGUAAAUAUUGUGUGUCUUUUAUAUUUCAUCACUUUACUUUAUAUCUUGUUUAGUUACUAAUUUUGUGUGUCCAAGGACUUGAUCACUUGACUCGUAGUGGACUCAUAUAAACCAACAAUUGAUAUCAGAGUGAAUACUCUCUAAAUGAUUAACUCCUAGAGAGAACCUACAUUGAUGGUUGAUCCACCCAAUCUAGAGAAAAGUCAAUCAACCACCAAACCUCCCUAUUUCAAUGGACAAUGCUAUAGAUAGUGGUAGACUCGAAUACACAACUUCAUAAUGGUUGAAGAUAGUGAGAUAUGAGAUGUUAUUCUUGAUGGACCAUAUGCUCCCAUAAAGAAAGUUAUUGAAGGAGAGACUACAAUACUGGUUCUUAAGUCACAUAAGGAAUAUGAGGAAGUUGAUCGAAAGAAGAUCGAAAAAAAUUUCAAAGCUAAGAACUUGCUUCUGUGUUAAAUAGGUCCCAACGAGUACAAUAGAAUUUUUGCAUGUGAAUCUACUAAAGAGAUUUGGGAUUUCUCGAGAACUAUCAAAGAGUACAAAGUGGAUAUACUCACUACAUAAUAUGACUAUGAAGGAAACUGAGACUUUCAAGAGAUGCACACCAAGUUUAAUGCAAUUACAAAUGAGUUGCAUUAUCUUGGAGAAGUGAUCUUACCAAGUAAGCAAGUGAGAAGGAUAAUUAGUAUUCUGCCAAAUUCAUGGGAGAGUAAGGUCAAUACAAUAACAGAGGAUCGAGAUCUCAAAACCCUCACCAGAGAUGAAUUGAUUGAUAAUCUGAAAACUUAUGAACUCAAAAGGCAGCAAGAUCAAAAGAAGAAAAAAACUAAGAAAGAGAAAAUCUUAUCUCUCAAAGCUUUAAAAUCUAACUCCAGUUAAGAAGAUUAGGGUGUGUCUUACUUAGCUUGAAGAUUCAUAAAAACUAUGAAGAAGAAUAAAGGAUUUUAGAAGAAGGAGACAAUUAGCAAAUCUCUUAAUGAAAAUGAGUGUUGUCAUAAAUGUCGUAAACUGGGCCACUUUAUCAAGGACUUUCCAAUGAAUAUGAUGGAUUACAAAGAUUAUUCCAAGGCUAGAGGUGACAAAUUCAAAUGGAGGGAUCAAGUUCCAAACAAUUCCAAAAGAAGAAAUGCAGCAGACUAUGUUGUCAAACAAGCCAUUGUUGCCUGAGGGACUCAUCUGAUGAUUCUGAUAAGUCAGAGCACCUUGAAGAUGCUUCUACAAUGUCCAUGGAAGAGGAUGACAAUAUUUUCAACUCUCAUUUUACUCUCAUGGCAAAAUUAUAUGAUGAUGAAGACAAAUAGGUAACCCUUCCUGACAUUAAGUAAAAACCUUAAUGACUAUUCAUUGAAAAAACAAAAAAGGUUAGCAAAUGUGCUGGUUGAUUCUCUUUGUGAGUUCACAAUAGAGAAUAUUUUCUUGAUGAGAGUCUAGAUAGUCUUGAAAAUGAAAAAAUAAUUUUAAGUAUUCAAAUUUUUUAGUUGGGAUAAAAUUUUCAUAUAAUGACUUCUAAAAAUGCUGAAAUGAAAGAAAGGUUAAGAAAGUUUUAUGAGUCUAUUUUAAAGAGAAAUUUUAAGACAAGUAGUAUUAAAUUUGAGUUUGAAGAAAGGUUGAAAAAUCCCAAGAACAUCUUGCUGCCUCUCUUAAAGAAAUGCAGAACUAGAAAGGGACUUGGUCUGUGUUAAGAAGGACUUAACAAAUCUCUGAAAUAGACUAAUUCAUCCCAAACUCUAGCUAAGUUGAUUAUUCAAAGUUCUAAUAAUGGCAAGGGUCUGGGUUUUCAAAAAUUUAAUCCCCCUUAUAAUUCUCACAGUAAAUAUGUGUCAGCGUUUAACAAUUUAUUAUGCAAUCAUUCUGAAAGAAAUAAUAAUCUUAGAAAGGAUUGUCAAGCCAAGUUAAGGGAUGAAAAGAGUCUGACUAAUUAUGUUGAGUAGGAGGACUACUUAUAAAGAAACUUGAUCCUCUUUCAAAACUUGAGAAAACUAGGUCUCCUGCUUGGACCAAAAAGGUCUUGAUUGCUCCUAUAUCCCCUAUGGGAACUGUCAUGACCUGAACUAGGUCCUGGCCAUGACGGAUAGCUCAAGUCGACCAAGGAUCGGAGAUCACCCCCUUUGCCUAGCCAAAUAGAGCAUAACACGCCUGACAAUGACUGAAUUUCAAAUAUAUAACAAGAUAAAAAGUAAUGAGUUUAAAGACAUCUAAGAGUGUCAACAUCAAUAUCCAGCCAUAGUAAUAUCCACAAAGCCUCUACACAAUAAAACCACCUAGGUCGGGACGUGCCCCCGAUUUUGACAAUGAUAGUGACAAUGAUAAUGUUAACGUAAAGUCCUUAGUUCUAGUCAUGGAAGGAAACCUAUGGAAUGAUCAAGUAUUUUGGAGAAUGGAAGCUCACCACUCCACGCAAACGCCUGACUAAUUAAGUAAAUCCACCUAAUACAAUGUAGGAAAGUAGGAUUGCCUUCGGAACCUGUAUCGCGUAGGGAUACACCAUCUGAGAAUGGUUAGUGUGAUGAGCACUAGCAUGAAACUCUGGAUAAGGGUAAAAUAAUGUCAAUCGAAAGUUCAAUUUCAAACUCACUGUACAUGUUCACAUACACGCAUACAUAUAUAUAUAAUAGAAGUUAGGGUAGGGAACAAGGUUUAGCAUAAAGUAAAAUAUUAUCCUAGACUAUGUAGCUCAACCGUCAUAAACUGAUACCCACAAGCUAUAUGGGUUCAGCUUUUCCUGCUGAAAAGGCCCCUGUGUGUGUUAGUCGCACAAACUGGAGGUAUCAAGAAAGACCAGGGAAUGACCUGACCCCACAUCAAUCCAAGAUACAAAUAUAUAUCAAUAGUAUGAAUUGUGCACACGGUCAUUAAGACCAACCCUAACGUCGACAAACAUGAGUUUCCAAUACAAGUCAUUAGAGACCCGCACCUUCAUGGCUUAGCUACAUAACCCUCAUUAAUCCUAAUUGAAACAAGUUUCACAUAACCCAUUCAUCAACCAAGGAAUUACAUAUUAAGGCACACUAUAGGUAUAGUCAUGCCAUUUAGUUUGCUAGCUCAUAAUUAUGCCAUUACAAUUCCAUUAACUUGGGGAAUGCCUCGACCCCUUUUGUUCAUUAAAUUAAUUUGGAGUAAUGUCUCGACCUCCUUUAGUUAAAGUAUCACAAUUGUGAAGAAAAAUCACCCUUGAUAGCUCUAAGUGACCAACUUCUUGGAAACCCUAAGUGUUCUUAAUCUUAAGGAUCUGAGAGAGAUUGUAAAGUUAUUUUUAUUUGUUUUUGAGUGACAAUAACAUCCUAAAGGGGUUUUAAGUCGUGGUUCACAAUUGGGUAUGGGGGAAAUGUCCCAAAUACCCUUAAUGAAACACUAAAAUAUUAUCAUCCAAUCAUUACGGAUGACCUUACGACUCGUAGAGACUCGUUACGACCCAUCACCACGAGUCAUAAUCAAGAUAGUAGCUGAAGGACACUUUUUUAGCGACUCUGUGAUUCAAACCAUACGACUCGUCAAGUAACCCUAUGACUCGUAGGGUCAAAUUUAUAUCUAGGACAGAAAUACUUAAGGCACACAUUGGCUUGGCUAUAGAUGGGACAAUAUAACUCAUAACGAGUCUUUACAACUCGUGAACUCAAGUCGUCACCAAGGCAAUAACCUAGGCAAAACUCUUUGGACAUCUUAUGAUUUGGGUACUACGACCCGUCAUGACACCUACAACUCAAAGGGUGAGUCGCAAUAAGCCCAUAGUUUAAGAAAUUUUUCAAGGACCAAAAUACGGGGUGUUACAGGAACUUAAACUUAAAUAGGUUUCCAAACCUAAUAAAUAAUCCUCAUGUGCAGGUAAGAGUAAGAGAAAACAAUCACAGUUGGUUCAUGGAUAGUGGAUGUUCCUAGAAUAUGACCUGGAAAAAUUGAGUGCAUUCUCACGCAAGGCAUUUCAAGAUGGAGGUGUCUCAUGUGGAGAAAAAAAGUAGGAUAUACCUUAGUUUUUUGAAAAAUUAAAAGAUCUUUAAACUAUGCUAUCGAGAAUGUGUACUCCCUCUGUUUCAAAAAAAAAAAUGACCUACUUUUAUUUUUAGUUCAUUUAAAAAAUAAUGACCCCUUUCCCUUUUUAGUAUUUUUUUAAUUUUAACUUUCUACAUGGCAUGUUUAAGACCACAAGAUUGAAGGGCAUUUUAGUACAUUUGACAUAUCUUUAUUUUAAUACCACAAGAUUCAAAAGUCUUCUUUAUUUUCUUAAACUCCGUGCCAAAUCAAACUAGGUCAUUCUUUUGAAACAGAGGGAGUAUUAUGUGAGUGGACUAAAAUAUAGUCUACUCAUUAUCUCUUAAAUUUAUGAUAAGAAAAUUGAAGUUAAAUUUUGUCUGAUUAUUGCACUAUCGCCAGUCUCUAAUUUGGUGAAGUUAUUCUUAGAGCCAAAAGGUGAAAGAACAUGUAUGUUGCUAAUUUGAAUUCAGGUCCUAGUGAUGAUCUCAUUUGUUUUAGUUCUCAAAGUGAUAAUAUUUAUAUAUGACAUAGAAGACUUGCUCGUGUUAGUUCCUUACUACUUAACAAUCUAGUCAUGAAGGACCUAGUCCGUGGUGUCCCCAAGUUAUAAUUUUCAGACAUCAAGAUUUGUGAUGCCUAUGUCAAUAAAAAGAAUUCAGGUCCUCAUUUAAGCAGAAAAAGAAAGUCAGUACUACCAGUCCUCUUAAGCUACUUUACAUGGAUCUAUGUGGACCUAUAAAGGUUCAAAGUAGAGAAAAAAAAGAAAUAUAUCUUGGUUAUUGUGGAUGAUUUCUCAAGGUUCACUUGGACCAUGUUCUUGAGGUCCAAAGUUUAAAAUUAGAAGCGUUGGUGAUUUUUACCAAGCAAAUCCAAGUGAAUCUGGAUAGUAAAAUUCCAGGGAUCAGAUAAGACUAUGGAAUUAAGUUUCAAAAUGCAAGGGUUGAAGAAUUUUAUGCAGAAAUUGGAAUAAGUCACAACUUCUCAGCCCCCAGAACCCUCAGUAGAAUGGUGUUGUUAAAAUAAAAAAAUAGUUUUUUGGUUGAUAUUGCUAGAACCAUAUUGAUUGAUUCUAGUCUUCCAAAGAAAUUAUGGGCUAAAGCAGUUAAAAUUGCGUGCUAUGUUACAAAUAGGUGUCUAAGAAGGUCAACUCUCAACCAAACUCCCUAUGAAACAUUGUACAAAAGAAGGAUCAAAAUGAGAUACGUCAAGUCUUUUUGGUGCAAAUAUUUUGUAUUGAACAAUGGUAAGGAUUAUCUUAUGAAAUUUGAUCCCAAGAGUUUUAAAGAAAUAUUUGUAGGCUAUGCUUCAACUAGCAAAGCCUAUAUGAUCUAUAACAAAGAACCCUUUAUGUUGAAGAAAGUGUUUAUGUCAUUUUUUAUGAGCCGGGUGACAUGGAAAAAUUAAGAGAUGCCGAUGAUGAUGACAUGGAGGAACUUAUUAAAACUCAAUAUAAUGGUAUUCUUGAAGAAAGUGAUAAAGGACAAGAUAAUCACGAUGUUGAAAAUCAUACAACUAGUGAAGUUGAGGAACUGGGUCCUCAGCAAGAUUUUGCUGGACCUGAUCAUUCAUAGCAUGAAUCUCAAGACCAAGAUGGUAGGGUACCUGGUACUAUUCAACCAUAAUCAUCCAUAGAAAAUCAAACUAAAAGCACAAGUCAUCUCACCCUCUUGACAAUCUCACCUCACCUUUGGACUCUGGUAUGCAAACCAGGGCACAAGUAAGGAAUUUAGUUGCCUUUUCAACAUUCACAUCUUCCAUUGAGCCUAAUAAUAUGAAGGAAGUACUCAAGGAGGCUACUUGAGUAAAUUUAAUACAGAAGAAACACCAUUAGUUUGAGAAAAGUAAAGUAUGACACCUGGUCUCCAGACAUGAUGAUAGGACUAUCAUAGGGGAUAAGUGAGUAUACAAGAACAAGCUUGAUGAACAUGGUGUUAUCACAAGGAACAAAACUAGAAUUGUGGUGCAAGGAUAUAAUCAAAAAGAAGGGACUAAUUUUGGUGAGACCUUUGCACUAGUUGCAAGGAUGGAGGCUAUAAGAAUCCUUAUUGCUUUUGCUAUAUACAUGGAGUUCAAGCUAUUCUAAAUGGAUGUAAAGAGUACCUUCCUAAAUGGUUAAUUGAAAUAAGAAUUAUAUGUCAAACUACCAUCCAGCUUUCAAGAUAUUGAUCAACAUAAUCAUGUGCUGAAAUUAGACAAGGCAUUGUAUGGCUUAAAACAGGCUCUAGGAACAUUGUUUGAAAGGUUAUCUAAGUUUCUUCUUAAAAAUGGCUUCAAGAAAAGAAAAAUUGACCACUUUUUUUCUUAAAACAAGAGGAAAAAAUAUGCUAAUUGUGCAGGUGUAUGUGGAUGACAUCAUUUUUCGAGCAACUUCAUACUCACUGUGCGAAGAAUUUGCUAAGCUCAUGGGAAGUAAGUUUGAAAUAAGUAUGACAAGCUUAUUUUUAGGGCUACAAAUCAAGAAAACUCCCAGUGGAAUAAUGAUUAUUCAAGAGAAAUACAUUAAGAAGCUUUGAAAAAAUUUCACAUGAAUGAUGCUAAAUCCAUUGAUAACCCUAUUGGGAUAAGCUCAAAGACAAAUUUUAAUAAACCUACUCCUAUGGUAAAUAAGAUUGUGUUUAAAAGAAUCAUUAAGUCGCUCUUAUACUUGAAUUUUAGCAGACCUGAUAUUGUAUUCAGUAUGGAAAUAUAUACAAGGUUUCAAGCUUGUCCAAUAGAAUCUCACUUAAAAGUUGCAAAGAGUAUUCUCAGAUAUCUAAAGAAAAUAGGGGACCUGCACCUAUUUUAUCCAUCUGGUAAUAAUUUUGAUCUAGUUAGUUAUGUUAAUACAAAUUAUGCAGGGUACCUAGUUGAUAGGAAAAGUACUUCAAGAAUAGAUCACUUCCUAUGGUCCUCUUUUAUCUACUGGAAAUAAAAAAGUAAAACUUAGCAGCACUCUCCAAAGCAAAGGCUGAGUAUGUAGCAGUUGUUUCAAAUUAUGCUCACUUUUUUAAUUAAGCAGUAGCUAAAGGAAUUUGGGAUAAUGAUUACUCUAUAAAUGACCAAAAAUUUUAUACAACAUAAAAGGACCAAACAUAUUGAUGUGAGACAUCACUUUCUAAGAGACAAUCUAGAGAAGGAACCCAUUCGCAUGAAAUUCUACAAUAUUGAAGAUCAAGUUGAGGAUAUUUUCACAAAGUCUCUCCACAAGAACCAAUUUGAUAAAAAUAGGUUGUGGCUUGGACUAAUUUAGUUGAAUUGAUCUACUCUAGUUGAUUUUAUUUCCCCCUACGUUGGUUAUGAUUAGGGAAUAAAUAUCCUUGUGAUAAUUUGUGUUUUGAUCUAAUUCAAUUACAUACCUUUUGUAAGUAUACAUGUAUGGUGGGAAAGCUAAUAAGAAAGAUGAAUAAGAAAGAUUUAAAGGCCAAAAACUUUCAAAGAAUUAAGAGUGGGUCUAGAUUCGUACUCAAAAGGUUAGUACUUUAUUACUUUUUGAAAAUGUAGAAAUUUACUGUUCAAAAUAGCCACGUGUCUUUUCUUACCCCUUCGUACUAUUGCCACAUCAUUUGAAAAUCCAAGGAAUAUGCCCUAUUGGGACCAGGCACUUAUUUUUUCUUUUAGCUCAACCACCAUUUCCAUCAUCUUUAAAUAACAUCUUAACCCCUGAUCUUUUAUAUUCUCAAAUCACUAAAACUCUCCUUUAUCCUUCAUAAUCUUAUCCUCUCCACAUCUCCAAGCAUUUUGAUAGUUUAUUAUUAUCUUGAAAUACUACCAGGUUGAAUUAGCCAAGUUUCUAAACUAAUGUCAAAACUACCAGUGACAACGGUCCAAGGUACCAGUCGUUAUGAGAUGUAACGAGUCGUUGUAAGGACUUAUUUUCACGGUAGUAAGGUAAACAAAGUUUUGGUCCCUUGGAAAUGAGUCUAGGGUAUGACUUAUUAUGAAACAUGAUAUGUUAAUAAGAGGAACUUGUUGCCUUAAUAGUAAGAUGCCUCAGAGUUCUGUCCCUGAUCACGAGUCUUAGUCACGACUCGUGAUGUCAGAUAAUGAUUCAUUAUGAGUGACUCAUUGUCAUAAUAGUGAAGGACCAAGAUUUUGAUCCUUUGGUAAUGAGUCUAGGUAACGACUUAUGGUCAGACCUCAUGAGUCGUUACCAAUGUCGGGUUGACUGUAUUAGUAUUUUCCUACAUAUUUUAAUUGGGGUCUUUUUGAUCUUUUCCUCUCUUUACACUAUACCUGCGACUUAAAAACACUCUGAUGACCCAUUUAACAUCAUUUAUCAAACCAAAACACUAUUUUCUUCUCUUUAACAUUCAAGGCAAGAGAAUACUAGGGUUUUACAAGGGAUUCAAUAUUCAAGCUCCAACCUUCAAAUUCCUUUCAAUUUCUUAUGUAUUUCAGACAUAUCUCUCAUCCCUAAACUUGUAUUUUUUAUUAUGGCAUAAAUUAAUUCAAUAUUUAUAUGAUUUAAUUGUUGGGUUUAAAAUUAGGUUAAGGGGUUUUGAUGGUGAUGACUUCAAUUGCUUUUUCCAUGUUUUUAAUAUGUUAUCCAUGCUUUAAUUGAUGGUUUUAGAGGAUGAAUGAGUGAAUUAUCAUGGGGAUUGGAGUGAGGAACAUGGAUUUUCCCAAAUUGAUGGAUUUUUAUCUUGGUAAUGGUAUUAAUAUCAACCCACCUUCAUAACUUUGGUUUUGAAUAUGAAAUUUGCAUAAUUUAAUCUAUUUUUGGACAUUGUAUUGCAUUAAAGGAUAAUGGAUAAUGAAAUGGUUUUGGAAAUCCCUUGGUGACAUUGGUUUGGAUUUUUAAAUGGAACUUGGGAGUAUAAUGUGUCAUGGAUUGGCUUGGCAUAAUCAUAUAAGCUUGCAAUCAUAAUUGGAAUGAUGAAACCAAGUCGGUAAAUGCCUUAAUGAAUGACUCUUGGAUUAAUGAUUGGGUUUAUGUGCAAAUUAUUUUAAUUUAGGCUUAAAGGAAAUUAUGUAGCUCACCGUGAAAGUAGAGGUCUCAAGGGGAUCAACAGUGGAAACAACGUUUGCUAGUGUAGGUAUUUAUAUGAUCAUGUGCUUAGUGUGCACACUAUAUUUUGGAUUGGAUACUGCCUUGGUGUCUUUAGCCUUUCAUCGGUUAUGUGGCUAACAUGUACUGAAGCCCUUUUAGUAGGGGGGACUGAACCCAUAUAGCCCAUGGGUGCCUUUAUAAAGCGAGCUAUACAGUUCACACUAAUAGUUUAAACUUUCAUAAUCAUAACCUUUGUCCCUACCCCGACAACCUAUAUAUGUAUAUAUAAAUGUUGUUCCUAUUGUUUUGACUAGUUUUUAGCAUUGGCAUUAUUUUAUUACUUUUUCUGAGAUACAUGUCAGUGCUUGCCCCACUGACCAUCCUUGGACACUAUAUCAUUUCAUGAUGUAGGGUCUGAGGGAUUUUAUAUUACUCUUGUGCAGUGUUAGGUAUUGUGGUACGUUGGUUGCAUUUUUGUGAAGUAGUAAGCCUCCAUAUUUUGAAACUCCCUACCAUUUCAUUAGGUUUUUUUCCAGAUUUUAGGAAUUGUGAACUUUAUUUUGUCAUAGUCGGGGGCAUGCCCCGACCUAGUUUGGUAUUCUAAUUUAGAGGCUUUUAUGGACAAGUGUGGGUUGGAUGUUUUUUUAUUCAUAGAGUUUAUAUUUGAUUAUCUGUGCUUCUAAUUACUAUUUGGUUGACUUUCGUUGUAUUCUUUUAUUAUGUCCUGGAUGUUAGGGUAAGGGAAUGGUUUUCGGCUCAUGUUGGGCUUGAGAUGCCUGUCAUGACUAAGCCCUGGUUUGGGUCGUGACAGGAGGAGGACAACACUAAUUAUGAUUUGAUGUCAUGGAAAAGAGUGGGACAAACAUAUUCCAUUGGAAAGAAGAAAAUUGAUAUUUCUAAUAAUGUCAUUGGAGUUAUAGAACAAGGGGGUGAAAAGGAACUCAUAGGAGAUUCAAUAAAGGCGAACAAAUUAUCCACCACUCAUAAAUGUAGAUUGAGGAAAACCUUAGUGAUUGAUGAAGCUAUUGUUCCAGCGGAUUGAGUGAUGGUAGUAGAGGAUGAAGAAAAGGAGAUGAUAUUGAAUUUAAUGUUGCAGUUGCAAUAGAGAAAAGAAUAAAAGGAGAAAGUGUCAAAAAACCAUCAGUGAUAAGAGCAUCAAGGCACAAAAAAUUGCUGCAAAAAGUUUGCCAUUGUCAAGCAGAAGAAUAAUGAUGGUUCAGAGGUACUUAGUCCUAAAGCUGACUCCACCACUUCUACAUAAGUGGCUUUGUCUGUCAAGGGACCAGGUACUUCUAUCGAAAGAAGAAAAGUUUAAAAGGUUGAGAAAGUUCUUACUAGGGAAGAAAGUUCAAGCUCUCAAGAUAGAAAAAGUGUUAAAAAGAAGAGUGUUUGACCCAAGUGUUGGACAAUAAAAUUAUCGAGUCGAAAAAAUAAAUAAUUUGAGACAAGAAAAUGUUGCAACAAUUAAUUUAUUGAUUUCAAUAUGUGAGUGUUACAAUCUCUAUGAAUCCUGUAAUUCGCCUUUUCAAAUAUAAAUUCAAGGGCUUAAAGCUUGAUCUUGAAAUUUGAACUUGAUUUGUUGUACUUGAGGAACUUGAUCUUGACUUGUUCUUGAAUUCAAGGGCUUUUGAGCUUGUUCUUGAAUAUUGGGGUCUUGAUCUUGAAUUUUGAUGAACUUGAUUUGAAUGUUUCAGCUUUAUAGAGAAAUUGCAGUGUUUGAUCCAUGAGCUUUCUCUUGCUUUUUGUUAGAGUUAUGGGGGGUUCUCUUUUCUAAAUUAUGAGACCCCUAUUUAUAGUUGUGGAAAGGGAAGAGUCACGAUGAAGAAGGACUUUCUUUGGCCACUCAAAUUCAGGUGACAUGGCACCUUUUAUGGGCUUUGAUUUUAUUAGGCCUGCUGCAUCAUUUUGACAUGUGGCAUGGUCCUAUUGGCUCCUUCCCCUGACUUGGCAUGCCACAUCAUUUGACACGUGGUGCUUAUUUAGGUCUCUAUAAUAUGACAAUAUCUUUGGCUUAACACAAUGGGCUCAUUAUUUAUAGCACAAAUUAUGGACUAGCCCAAUAAAGAUUGGACUUUAUUUAAAUCCAUAUAUGUUUGGACUUAAAUAAUUAAUUGAUUGUAUUAAUCCGCAAUAUUUAUUUGGGACUAAGCUAUUUUGAAUUUAACAUAAUCUAAAUUUCAUACGAAUUUUUAUUUAAUAAGAUUUUGUUGCCCAUAAAAUGCCCCCUACUUCAAGACUUGUCGAGAUAUUUAAUCUUUUUGAGACUAGACUUGAAUUAUGAUUCAUUUAAACAUGCUUCCUUCAUGCUUCAAAGAUUUUCACAAAGCUGAACCAUGCAAUUUACAUAUUGAUAUCGCUUCUCAAAAAGUCUCCUAUUUUUUUCAUGAAUCUCUACACGUAAGACCCAUUGGUGAGGCAUGAUAUCCUAUUCCAAAUAGAUUUUGAAAAAAAAUACUGUCUUACUUAACCAGGAAUAAAACUCUUCCAAUUUGAAUUUAUAUUGGAGAAGAAAACAUCCCCCAAUUUGAAUUUGUAUGGGAGAAGAAAAUAAACUCCAAUUUGAAUUUGUAUUGGAGAUGAAAACUCUUCCAAUGUGUAUUGGGAAGGAAACAACCUCCAAUUUGAAUUAGUAUAGAGGAAGAAAACAACCUCCAAUUUGAAUUUGUAUGGGGGAAGAAAAUAACCUCCAAUUUGAAUUUGUAUUGGAAAUGGUAACUCUUCCAAUUCAAAUUUAUAUUGGAGAAGGAAACAUACAUCCUACAACUCUAUAAAAGAAUGUAGGUUCCACACUUUUUCAAUAUCAAUUUUGAGGUUUCAAGCCAUGAACAAUAUUGAGGUAAUUUUUUUCCCUCCUACAUUUCUUUUAUUUUCGUCAUUAUUUUUCAGAACAACAUUUUAGUGGUAGAAAAUUCAUACCUUAUGGUAGGGAUAUCAAAAUCAUAAACCGUUUGAUACUCCAAAAAUUAGACUUCGAUAUCUAUAACAUAUCAAAAACUCAGCUUUAAAUUCCAUUAAUAUAAUUCUUGAUAAUUUUUUGAAUUUAGCCCUGAAUUUUAUCAUGCUGAAAAUUUCAGAUCUGGGCGUCUUUACUAAAGCUUUCAUAUCUUGAAGCAGGAAUGACGAAAUUGCAAACCGCUUGAUUUUUUUGAAACUAGACAAAAAGAUAUACAACAUAUCCCGAAUUCAUAAUUUAAUAUUUUUGAGAUUAUUUUAGGUGUUAUUCCGAAAUCAGCAUUGAGUUUUGAUGCAUCAGCAAUUUCAGAUUUAUGCGACGUCACCAAAAAAAUUAUACCUGGAUAUGAGAGUAUCAAAAUUAUGAUCCGCUUAAUUUUAUAGAUCCCAGAAACAUGCAUAUGUAACAUAUCCAAAAUUUGAAUUUUAACACUUCUUGGAUUGUUCUAACUAAUUUUUUUAAAGACGAUCUUAUAUGUUGUCCGACAGAAGAUUCCAGAUUUGCACCGCCUCACCAAAUAAUUUAUAUCUUGAUGUGGGACCAUCACUACCAAAUAGUAUUUUGAUUGCUUCAAACUAUAUUUUGAUGACUAUAUUUUCAUUAAGGCAUCUUUUCUCAAUCUAAGUUAGUGAUAUACAACUUUCGAGAUCGCAACGCUCUGACAGGUAACAUCCUUUCUAUUUGUGUUUUUACUUUCUUUCUUGUUUCCUUCUUUUUUUGCAGGGUUAAAAUAAAUAUGCAACAAUCGGCUUAAGGUGAGAGAGUUUAACUUCAUCUCCGUACACCCUAAGACCGACCAAUUUAAUUUUAAGAUGGUGGUUGUGCAAUAAUCGGCUUAGGGUGUGAGAGUUUAACUUAGCCUCCGUACACUCUAAGACUGACCAAUUUGAAUUCAAGAUGUUGCCUAUGCAACAACAAGCUUAGGGUGAGAGUGUUUAACUUCACCUCCGUACACUUUAAGACCGACCAAUUUAACUUCAAGAUGGUGGCUUUGCAACAAUCGGCUUAGGGUACGAGAGUUUAACUUUGUCACCGUACACUCUAAGACCGACCAAUUUAACUUUAAGAUGGUGUCUUUGCAACAAUCAGCUUACCUCCAUACACUCUAAGAUCGACCAAUUUGACUUCAAGACGGGAGCAAUGCAAUAAUCGGCUUAGGAUGCGAGAGUUUAACUUCGCCUCCGUAUACUCUACGACCGACCAAUUUGACUUCAAGAUGCAUGGUUUUCUUUAAGUAUGGGCCCUUUCACUGAUGCAUUUAUGCGAUGGUUUUCUCUAAGUAUGGGCUAUUUUCAAUGUUUAGAUUAAGGGGCAAAGGGGCAAAUUUUGUCCGCCUUAAGACAUGAAAAUUUAAGAUCCUUUUAAGGAUAAACCUGUGAGAGGCCAACUUAAGGUGCAAAGGGACAAAUUUUGUCCACCUUAAGGCAUGAAAAUUUUGAGAUCCUUUUAAGGAUAAACCCAUGAGAGGCCAGCUUAAGGUUCAAAGGGAUAAAUUUUGUCCACCUUAAGGCAUGGAAAUUUUGAAAUCCUUUUAAGGAUAAACCCUUGAGAGGCCAUCUUAAGGUGAAAAGGGACAAAUUUUUUCCACCUUAAGGCAUGGAAAUUUUAAAAUCCUUUUAAGAAUAAACCCGUGAGAGGUCAUCUUAAGGUGCAAAGGGACAAAUUUUAUCCACCUUAAGGCAUGAAAACUUUUUUUAUAUGUUCUUAAAGAUAAAUCCAUAGAGAGAUCAGCUUAAGGUACAAAGGAACAAAUCUUUCCCACCUUAAGACACAAAAAUUUUGGAGGCCUUGAUUUGAAGACUUGGAGAUUUUAUCAACUUUCACUCUCAAAUUUGGCAUUUUGAGUGGUUCAGCUUCUAAAUUUAGGGAGUUUCGAGACUUUAUAUUAUGUGAACAAAGCUCAUAUUUCAUUGUAGUUUGCCCCCAUUGAGCCACCAAUACUUGGAGUGGGUCCAAGAUUUAAUUAGAAUAUUUUCAUACUUUGUAUCCAUAUGGCAGAUACUGUAGGAGCAUAUUUUUUUAGACACUCAUGCAAUUGAACUCAGAAUGAGAUUCCAAGUGCCUACGUACCUUAGUGAAGACGAUCAAGUCACAACGUAGUUCUGGGUGAGUGUUUUUUUCUUUCAUCCUAACUUUUCCUAGUCCGCCACUUUCGAGAUUUUCAACCUAGCAUACAUCUAAAGUCGUGCAUAGUUUAUACUCUUGGAGGACAGGAGUGAACAUGUAGUUUAUACUCGUGCCUUAAGAAGUGUCAUCUUCCUUCAAAGAUAGUACUUAUUCAAGAACUUGGCGUUGAUAGGACCAAUUUUCAUGCCAUCUGCAUUGAUAAGCUUGUAAGUACCAUUUGAAUAUGCCUCUUGUAUGACAUAUGGUCCAUCCCACUUUGGGGUAAAUUUACCCCUAAAAUUACGAGAAGUGAUAAUGGGUCUCCUUACUGCAAGGACUUGAUCUCUAACUUGGAAGCACCUCAAGUGAACUCUUUUAUUGAAAGAACGAGAUAGUCGGGCUUGAUAAUAUUCAAGAUUUUGUUUAGCCCCCAGCCUCUUCUCAUUAAGAGCUUCUAACUCUGCAAGAUGUAACUUAGCAUUUUCUUCAUCGGUGAGCCCUUCUUGAAUAGUCAGUCUCAAAGAGGGUAUUUGACGCUCAAGUGGCAGGACUACUUCAACUCCAAAAGCAAGUGAGUAUGGGGUUGCUUGCGUAGGUGUGUGGUAAGUUAUUCUAUAUGCCCAUAAAGCUUCUUUCAUUUGUUCAUGCAGUCUCGCUUAGACUUGGAGAUAACUUUCUUCAAUAGAUUACAUAAAGUCGUAUUAAACGCUUCGGUUAAACCAUUGGCGGCAGCAUGGUACAUAGAAUACUUCCACUACUUGAAGCCAAAAAGAUCCCAAAUCUUAUUCAUCAUAUUGUUAUCAAAUGGCUUGCCCUUGUCGGUUAUUAUAUAUUGAGGGAUUCCAAAGUGGUAGAUGAUAUUCACUCGGAUGAAAUUUAUAAUAUUCUCUUUCUUUACUUCUUUGAGAGCAAUAGCUUCGGCCUAUUUUGAGAAGUAAUCUAUUGCGGCAAAGAUGUAUAAGUGUCCACCAGAAUAUAUUGAUAGUGGACCAAUAACAUCCAUUCCCCAAGCAUUAAAUGGCCAAGAUGUUACAGUUGGGUGUAGUACUUCAGGAGGUUGAUGAAUGAAAUUCACAUGGAAUUGACAAUCUUUGCAUCUUCUAGCAUAGUCCAAGUAAUAUUUUACCAUUGUUAGCCAAUAAUAUCCCAUUCUUUUAAUGUGAAAAUGGAGCUUCGGUCUAGACUGAUGAGAUCCACAAACUCUCGAGUGUACUUCUUACAAAGCUUGAAAUUUUUCUUCCUCUCCCAAAUAUCAUAAGAGUACUCCUUCAACUGAUAUUUUGUACAGUGUGUCUUUGCAGUAAAGGAAGCGAGGUGCACGACGACGAAUGUCAGUCUUUCUCCUUGGAUCUUCUGAAAGUAUCCCAUAAUAUAAGUAAUCAAUGAUAUGUUGUUGCCAAUCUUCUUUUACAGCCUCAAAUAUGGCAACGAGGUAUUCAACUUUAUUUUCUUCAUCCUUAUUUGAAGGGGGUACUACCCAUUCUUGGCGGAUAGCAACUUGCGGCUGAUUCGAAAGAGUCAGGAUUUAGGCCAAAGCAGCUAGGGCAUUAGCUUGUUUAUUUUCUCUCCUUGGAACAUGUUGGAGAGUUACUUCUUUAAGCCACCCCAUCAACUUCUGUGCAUAAUCAUGAUAUGGUCGUAGCUCAGGAUUUCUGACUUCAUAGCUUCCCAAAAGCUGCUUGAUCACUAAUUGAGAGUCACCAAAGACUUGUAAUUGCAGUUAUUUCAUGUCAACUUCCAUAUCAAGUUCAAGUAUUAAAGCUUGAUAUUCAACAACAUUAUUAGAGCAAUGGUUUUUAAGGGUAAAAGAGUAUGGAAUGACCUCUUCUUGUGAAGUGACAACACCACACCGGCACCAGCUCCAUCUUGAUGUGCAGAACCAUCAAAGUACAUCCUCUACGGGGGUAUGGCUUUAAUAACCAUUGCAUCUUUAUCAAAAAGUUCAUCGCUCAAUUCCCAGUCAUUGGGUAUCCGGUGGUCUUCCAAGAAGUCAGCCAAUGCUUGUCCCUUUACAGCCUUUUUAGAAAUGUACACAAUCUCAAUCUGUUGAAAUUGAAGGUACCAUCUUGUAAAUUAGCCACUAAGGACUGUUUCGAUAUUAAAAACUUGAUGGGAUUUGCCCUAGUCAUAAGACGAACAACAGGAGCCUGAAAGUAGUGCUUCAUCUUUUUAAUUGAGAAACCCAAUGCCAAACACAACUUUUCAAUUAGAGCAUACUUUAGCUCAUUUGGCGGCAUCAUUCUACUCAGAUAGUAAAGAGAGUUCUCUUUGCCUUCACUAUUUUCUUAAGCCAGUAGUGCUCCAACUGUCCUUUCUUGUGUUACGAUGUAGAGUACCAAUGGUUUCCAGGUAUGGGUGCUGCAAGAACUGGUGACUUUAUUAAGUAUGUUUUGAUACUCUCAAAGGCAUUACUACAAGCUUGGUCUCAUUCGAAGGGAGUGUACUUCUUCAUGAGAUGACUACAUGGUUGACAUUUUUCAUCCAGGUUUGAGAUGAACCUCCUUAAAUAUUCUAGCCUUCCUUGAAGGCUUUUUAACUCAUGAAUGUUUCAUGGCUCGGGCAUCUUCAAAAUUGUGUCGACCUUGUCCUGAUCAAUUUUAAUUCCUCGGUGUCAUACAAUAAAUCUAAGAAACUCCAAAGGUGCACUUCAAUGGAUUCAUCCUAAUUUGAUAUCUUCAAAGUAAUUCAAACACAAUUAUUAGGUCCUUUAAGUGGUUGUCUCUCUUUCUGGACUCCACCACUAGAUCAUCCAUGUAGCAUUCAAUAUUUUUCUGGAGUAGACCAUCAAAGAUGUUUUGCAUAAACCUUUGAUAAGUGGCUCCAGCGUUCUUCAAAUCAAAAGGCAUUACCUUGUAGCAAUAAAUACCUUUGGGUGUAUGAAAUGCAGUAAGCUCUUCAUCCUUUAGCGCCAUACAAAUUUAGUUGUAGCCAGAUGACCCAUCCAUGAAGUACAUUGCCUCAUAACCAGUGGUGGAAUCAAUCAUCAACUCUGUUAUAGGGAUUGGAAAAUCAUCCUUAGGGCAUGCGUUGUUGAGAUCUCAAAAGUUGACACAAACUUGAAUUUGGCCAUUCUUAUUUCGUACUGGAACAAUACUUGAAAUCCACAUGGGAUAUUUGACUUUACGAAUAAAGCUAUCUUCAAUGAGUUUGUUAAAUUUAUUUUUGAUCAAUGGAACCAAUUCUAGCCUAAAGCACCUUUGGUCUUGCUUAACAGGAUGAGAACCAUUCUUAACCACCAACUGAUAGACUGUUACUUUCAAAUCUAAGCCAGAUAUUUCCUUAUAACUCUAAGAAAAGACAUCCAUAUAUUAUUUAGGUAUAUCCAUAUAUGUGAUUUCUUUCUCCAUCUCUAGAAAGGCACUUAGGUAAGUUGGUCUUGGGUCUUCAUCGGUUCCAAGAUUAAAUUCCUUCAAGGAAUAUAUUGUGGCUUUUACUCCUUCUUCAAGUUGCGAUGAAGCAUCUCCAAUAUAUUCCUCCUCCUGAGGAUCAUCGUCGUUGAUGGAUAUGUGGUAGGACUAAAAAGUAUCUUCCAUCACUUCAUCAAACUUUAUUUAGGGUGAGACCGCAUCCUAUUUUGGGUUGUAACAUGAUAUAAGGAGCCAACACUCUCUCCAUCUUUCUCUCAUUGCUUGGUAUAAAGCACAUUAUGAUCCUUUUCUUUUAGCACCUCAUUGCAUGAAACUACCAGUUAUAUUUCCCGCCUCAUUUUAGAAGGAAUCAAACUUUGGAAAUCCUUUUGGAUCUUAGGCAAAGAGUGAAUUAUUGUACUUUGAUGACUUAUCCGACGCUUGUUAUUUUUCUUCUUAUUUAGAGCACCCAACCUUUCGAACACAGAAGUUCUAGCAGUUGACUCUCCAAGUCAGUCAAAGACAGAAGGCCUUUUAUUGGAUGCAGUAGACUCUUCUUCUAUAGUGAUGUAGUUACUAAUCGGCCUUCUUAUGGAGAUGCAAAUCGAAGGUGGCUGCGUGCAUCCUAGGCUUUCACAUGCCUGCCUGGUUGUACCUUUAGAUGGAAGUUUUCCCAACCUUGAUGGCUUAUAGGAUUAUAUCCAGCCUUUACAAAUAGCUUGUAUAUAUUUGGGUCGAAGCCAUCCUUCGUUUAUUUCGUAAGGAGUGUCAUAUCUUAUGGUGGAUUUUGAGCCAAAGACUUCCAAGUAGUCUUAAGGACGAAUUUAUUGCACCAAUCCUCUUGAUAGGUAAAGUUAUCCCUUUAGCACAUUAUCUUGGGCAUCAGAUGGGUGACCUUCCUCUUUCUUUACCUUUGGCACGUAGCAAAGAACUAGAGUUGCCUUCUUUUUCAUAGGUGUAACGCUUUCUUUAUUCGAAGUGAAGAGGGGCUUCUUGGUGGCAACUUUUUUGAUAGUCACCGCGACCUUCUUAGAUACAAGAUCAUUACAUUUGGUCUUGGUGACAUCUUCAACCCUUUUCUCAUUCACAACAUAAUUCUUGAAGUAGAAUUUUGCAUCAAUAAAAUGUAACUCAGCUUCAGUGAAUGGCUUGUCACUGGUAACUAUCUUUCUUUCUACUCCUCCUUCGAGGUACUUCAAGUAUUGAUAGUAAGAGGAUGAGAUAAUUUUAUUAUCGCGUACCCAAGGCCUACCAAGUAAGAUAUUGUAUGAAGUUUUGGCAUCGAUUAUAUACAUCAAUGUGUAUGAUUGAAAAUCAUCCAUACGAAUCCCCAACUUGACAGCUCACAUGGCCCUCUGGCCCCCUUGGUUGAAGCCUUGUAUCAUUAUAUGGCUUUCAGCCAGUUCACCAAUAGCAAUGCCAAGUUCCUUCAUUGUACGGAUAGGCAGGAUGUUAACUCCGGAUCCCUUAUUAAUCAAGAUUCUAUUUAUCCUUUUUCCUAGAACUUGACCUACCAUGUACAAGGGACGAUUGUGUAGGAUUUCUCCAAGUAGAAGGUCGUUAUUUGUAAAUGUGAUUUUUGUAUCACAUACGUGUGCCUUUUGUCUAAGUGGCUCCGUAGGCUUUUCAGAAGAUGGAGGAAACCCCACAAGUGGAUUUUCACCCUUUGCCCCCUCUUUGGCAGUAUUAAAACAAGAUGCCUCAAGGUUGACAUGAGCAGUCUUUGCAAGAAACCAACAUGGUAAGAAUUCUUUCAAAGUUACUGGACAUCAUAAUUUUUUGUGGUGAAUCUCUGUCACCCUCAUCUUCUUUAUAAGUUCAACCAACUUCUGUUUUCUUGGAUUCUUCACCAUUCUCCUUCUGGUUGGCUGCUCGGAUGACUCCUUUUGCAGACUCAUUUUCUUAUGUCUGUGCCUAGUCACCAGAGUCCAACCUUCAUCAUCGCCUUCAUCAACUGAAUACCUAUCAGGAUCUAAUAUCUUCUCUUUAUGCUCUUCGACACAUAUUUGGACUCGAUCGAGUGAGCCAAAAGAGAUAGAGAUUUGAUGAGAACUGGUCCUCUCAUCGUCGAAGAAGAUUUUCUUCUCUUUUUCAAGUUGCAUGACUUUAUCCUUAAAGACAAAGCACUUUUUCAGAGGGUGACUUAUGACCCUAUGAUAUUUGAAAUAAUUAUGGUCAUUGGUCCUUCCAGCUUUGUUAAGACGCUUUAUUUCUGGGAGUUCAAUGAGCUUAUGCUCAAGGAGUUCAUCAAAAAUCUCAGCAACAUCAGAACUAAGGAAGGGAUAUUCCUUUUCUUGCAUCUCCUUUAAAGUUUCUGAUUCGGACGUGCUCCAGAAGUUGUCUUCACACUUUGCUUCUUGCUCACCUUUAUGGUGACCUUCACAGAAGACACAUUAACAUUCAUGGACUCCUUGUUGUCAUUUUUGGGGAAAAACUUACCCUAUCUUUUGGGUUUCUGCUUAUCCUUUCCUUUUUGAGAGUCAUGGAUAGGUGUUACUCCCUUUUCAGCAGAAGACAUGCUUAAAUCCAUAUCAUGAGCACGGGUAGCUAGGUAUUCAAAGGAUUUAGGCUUAAUGCCUUGCAAGAUAUAGAGAAGCUCCCAGUGCAUUCCUUGGAUGCACAUCUCUAUUGCAAAAGCUUCGCUAAGUCUAUCUUUGUAGUUUAGGCUAGCAUUUCUCCAUCGAUUGAUGAAGUUAAUAACUGGUUCAUUCUUUCUUUGCUGACUAUUUGUGAGCUCUACCAUGCUCACUGUACGCCUUGUGUUAUAAAAGAGAUUCAGGAACUCAUGUUCCAAUUGAUCCCAACUAUUAAUGAAGUUAGGCUUAAGAUCCGUAUAACAAUCAAAGGCAUUUCCCUUUAGGAAACAAACAAACUGUUUGAUAAGAUAGUCACCAUAAGUUCUAGCAUUGUUACAUAUUUCAACAAAGUGUGCGACAUACUAUUUUGGGUUCCCUUUGCCCUCAAAUAAUUAAAAUUUGGGGGGUUGAUAGCCGGCAAGCAUUUUGAGGCUAUCUAUUCUCAUAGUGUAAGGUUUGGAAUACAUAAGGGAAUACUUGGUGACAACAUCAUACUUGUCUUUGAGGGUCUCUUCAAUGAAUUCCUUCAAUUGCUCAAUCGGGAUCAUUCCCUCAGAAAAAACUUGCAACUCUUUAGUCGGUGGUAUUUGUUUCAUAGGAUGUUCUAUCUCAUAAGCCUCCAAAGAGUUUUCAGGUGCAUGGCUAGACUCUCUAUCCAUCAUACCUUCCAACCUAUCCACUAUCUUAUCAAUCCGAGCAUCUUGAUUCUGAACAUUAUUAGUUAGGCUCUCAAAUUACCUUUGUCAGAUUCGCAAGCUGCUCUUCCAUAGAUGAGGCAUCAGUCAACAUCACUUGCAUGAUCACUGUAUACGUUGGAGAGUAACAUGGAUUAUCGCAUAAGUUGAUCUUCGAAGUGGUCAGUUUAUGGGAUGUAAGUGGAGAUAACAUAUUUAUUGAACGACCAUCGCUCUUUGCGCCAAAGUAUUUAGAUCCAAAAUGCUCAAGUAGAGCUAAAGUCUUCUUAAGCGAUUCUGUUACACUGCUUUCUCCUUCCAAAGCACUUGCAUUGAACCUCGUUCCUCUUGGGGUUGAAGAUCCAAAAACUGGAGUUGGUACGGAUGACACUGGAUGUAUUUGUUGUCCUAGCAAGCCUGCCUUGCUCGUUGUGACAGCUUCCAAGCUUUCAAAAGUAGCACCAAGUAUGCUUUCUACUUAAGUAGAGAACUUUGAAUUAGCAGCCUUGGAAGCAGUUGAUUAAGAGUUGACCUUCUUGGAAGUCAUUUCAGUGUUGUUGAACUUUAAAGUUGGAAAAGUUGAGAUAAGAAGUAGAGAUUGUCCCACUGGGUGUGCCAGAAUUUGUUGAACAAUAAAAUCCUCGAGUCGGAAAAAUAAAUAAUUCAAGAUAUAAGAAAAUAUUGCAACAAUCAAUUUAUUGAUUUCAAUAUGUGAGUGUUACAAUCUUUAUAAAUCGUUUGAUUCACCUGUUCAAAUAUAAAUUUAAGGGAUUAAAGCUUGAUCUUGAAUUUGAACUUGAUUUGAUGGACUUGAGGGACUUGAUCUUGACUUGUACUUGAAUUCAAAGGCUUUUAAGCUUGUUCUUGAAUAUUACGAUCUUGAUCUUGAAUCUUGAUGAACUUGAUUUGAAUGCUUGAGCUUUAUAGAGAAAUUGUAGUAUUUAAUCCAUGAGCUUUCUUUUUCUUUUUAUUAGAGUUUUGGAGGUCUCUUUUCUGAAUUAAUUAUGAAACCCCUAUUUAUAGUUGUGAAAAGGGAAGAGUCAUGAUGAAGAUGGACUUCCUUUGACCAAUUAAAUUCAGGUGACGUGGCAUUUUAUGGGCUUUGAUUUUAUUGGGCCUGCUGCAUCAUUUUGACAUGUGGAAUGGUCCUAUUGGCUCUUUUCCUUGACUUAGAAUGCCACAUCAUUUGAUAGGUGGUGCUUAUUUGGGCCUCUAGAAUAUGACAAUAUCUUAGGCUUAGCAAAGUGGGCUCAUUAUUUGUAGCCCAAAUUAAUGGACUAGCCCAAUAAAGAUUGGACUUUGUUUAAAUCCAUACAUGUUCGGACUUAAAUAAUUAAUCCAAUUGUAUUAAUCAGCAAUAUUUAUUUAGGACUAAUCUAUUUUGAAUUUAACAUAAUACGAAUUUCGUACGGAUUUUAAUUUAAUAAAAUUUUGUUGCCUACACCUAGUAUCUUUAAAAGUCCAGGAAUACGUAAGUUGGUUAAAUUUGUGAAGUAUUUGAAAUGUCUCUAUCUAUUCGAUUUGUUAGUUCCUGCUGCCCAUGAGAAGGAAGUGAGGGAAUUCUACUUUGCAAUUAAUUUCUCUAAAGAUUGUUUGAGACUAAUGACCACUGUACUUAAGAUUAAGAUUCAUCUUGAUAAAUCCAUAAUUUGAGAGUUUUUUUAUGUCCUAGUGUAAGGGAUAAGGUCUGUAACUAACAUGGUUUCAUCUCUUUGGUUUGUAAAGGAGAUUUAUAGAGUUGGUGGGUCAUCCAAGGCUAGGGUACUUAAGAUAUUUCUGAAAGAAUAGUUUUAAUUAUUGUUUGAACUAGUCAACAAAGUCUUGUUACCAUGCUCUAAGAAGCAUACAGUUGCUUCCGCAUCGGACCUAUUCCUUGUGGAAUCCCUCAGUAAGUUAGAAAUUAUCAAUCUUCUAGUUAUCAUAAUUAAACGCGUGCACAAGCUUAUGACAGUUAAAUAUGGAAAGCAUAGGAUGUCAUAUGAUUACUUUUUGAAUAAGGUAUUUGAUCACUUUAAAGUUGAGUGUGUAAAAGGGAUGCAAGAUUUUUAAAGCAAACAUUUACUAUGACCAGUUUGAUUGAAAAUGAGUGUAUUGAAGGAAAGGAAAGAACCAAGUCUAAGUCACAGGUGUUGGAGCUUAUUUCAUAACAAGAGAAGCUGACUGUAGAUUUAGUGAUGUUGGUCCAAUGAGAUGUUGAAAUCUCUUAGUUGAAGGCCACAAUACAACAAAUCUCAACUGAAGGACCUGGAACCGUUAAGGCUCUUCAAGAAGAAAAUAAGGAGUUAAAAACAUAGGUCAAGAACCUGAAUGCAGAAGUCAAGAGCCUCAAUACCAAAGUCAAGGACCUAACCAAGCAACUCCUUAAUGUGCAUGCGACUGAAAGUGCGCUCAGGACCUGGUCCUUCAUUUUCUCGCCCCUAAGCAUCCUAUUUCCUUCGAAUCAUUAUUUGACUAUGUUCUUCAUAUCCCUUUGUUGUCUCCAUAGUUGUUUAGGAACAGUUCUUUUAUGUGUGUUUGUUUGUUUAGUGUGUAUAAUGUCAUUGUUUUGUUUUAUCAACUAAAUGGUUAUUUAUCUCUAUGGAUUUUCUCAUUUGUGUUAGUGUUGUCCUAGUGAUCAUGAAUUAAUCAUAUAUGAAUCUUGCUUAACUUGGUUUACUGUUAUUACUUUUUUAUGAUAGAAAAAGUAGGAAGAUAUUAUAUUAAUGGCAAGAGAGUUUUGACUUACACUAAGGGGCAUGGUCCUUUUCAAGAGAAUCAUUGGAUCCGAUAUAUAGGGGGAACAUACACACUUAAGGGAUUUGGUUGAUAGGGGAAUAACUAGAAAUAGUCUAUAUAGUUUGACAUCAUCAAAAAGGAAAAAAAUUAUAUUUUAGAUUUGAUGAUUUAUAAACUCGUGUGCAAAGGACCUAGAUCGUGUUGUACCAAUUCAAAGACAAGACAACUCCGUACAGUUGUAAAUUGUAUUGUUUGCAUUUUGGUUACUAGCACUGUAGCAAAAAUAUAGUUGGCCCUUUAAACCUCGACCAAUGACAUGCCUCUUAGUUUUGCUCUCUUUUAUAAAAGGAAUAAGUGACAAGAGUAAAACCUAAUUUUUGAAAUCAAGAUUUAUAUCUCAAGCAAAAGUCAUUUGAAAAUUAACAUUGCUCAUAUUUAAUAAGGGACCUGAUCGAGUGUUGACCAGUCUUUGUUGAAUCUUUGAGUCUUGUGUCUUUUGUUCUUAAAUUGUAAUCUACUCUUGAGUUAUAAAGGAUAGUUGAAUUAUCUUUUGUUUAGCCAAGUCUUCUUUAUCAUGCUUGAUGUUUUCUUAUUUAGAGUUAUCUAGGAGUGUUAACUAGAGUUAGUUGAUGAGUGGAUGCAAUAGAGGUACUGUACAGGUUUUGUAAUAGAAGGUGUUACGAGGUACAUAGGAUUAAGAGUUUAAUCUUUUGUGAUUACUCGCAUUUGCAAUCACAAGUUGCUUGAAGUUAGUGGAUUGUUGGGAAAUCCUACUUGGUAGGUCGUGGAUUUUCCUCACUCGAGCAAGGGAGUUUUCAUAUAAAUACUAUGUAUAUUUAAUAUCUCAACACUUUACUUUAUAUUUUAUUUAGCUACUAGUUUUGUGUGUCAAGAAAUCUGAUCUCUUGACUCGUUGUGGACUCGUAUAAGCCAAUAAUUGAUUGUAGUAAAAGUUGAUUGGGAUGCCUAAGAAUUUUAGUGGUUGUUUUACAGUUGCUAACGAUUAUAGUGAGUGGGUAGUGAUGACAACUGGCACUAGUAAUGAUUGUCUACGGUGGUUAUCCAAUUAAAAUAGAGUUGUAGAUGGUUGGUAUUGGUCAUGGGCAGUAGAAGUGGCUAAUGGCAGUUUUGUUUUGUGGUAGUUUGUAGUGAAGGUGUAGGUAAUGGUGAUUGGCAGUAAUAAAUGUGUAUUGAAGGUUGAUGGUGAUGGUUGAGUGUUAUGAUGAAAAUGAAGAACGUCUUAGUGAUUUUGAAAUUUCAUAGAUGAUUGGAACAACUCAAGCUUACUAAGAAUAAAAAUAAUUAAGUGGUCAUUAAAUAAAAAGUGAUAAAGGCAGUUGGUUAUGGUAGAUUGGCCAUAAUAAAUAUGCAUUGUAGGUUGAUGCAUGGGGUGAUUGAGUGUUAUGAUGAAUAUGAAGAACGUCUUAAUGAUUUUGAAAUUUUAUGCAUGAAUGAAAUUAUUCAAGUUUAUUAAGAAUAAAAAUAAUUAAGUUGUAAAGUGGUGGAGGUGGUUAGUGGCACUGUUCAGCAAUGAUAAAUGUGCAUUGUAGGUUGAUGGUGGUAGUUGAGUAUUAUGAUAAACAUGAAGAGUGUCUUAAUAAUUUUAAAAUUUCAUAUACGAUUAGAACCAUUCAAACUUAUUAAGAACAAAAAUAAUUAAGUGGUCUAAAAAAUUAUGGAGGUGGUUAAUGACAAUGACCGAGAAUGAUAAAUAUGCAUUGCAGGUUGAUGGUGAUGGUUAAGUGUUAUGAUGAACAUGAAUAACAUGUUAAUGAUUUUAAAAUUUCAUACACGAUUGGAACGAUUCAAGCUUAUUAAGAACAAAAAUGAUUAAUUGGCCAUAAAAGAAAAAAAUGAUGGAGUGAUUGGUAACAGUGAUUGGCAAUGAUAAAUUUACAUUGUAGGUUGAUGGUGGUGGUUGAGUGUUAUGAUGAACAUGAAGAACGUCUUAAUAAUUUGGAAAUUUCAUACAAUUGAAAUGAUUCAAGCUUAUUACGAAUAAAAUAAUUAAGAGGUCAUAAAAAAACAGUGAAAGUGGUUGGCAGCAGUGUUCGACAAUGAUAAAUAUGCCUUGAAGGUUGAUGGUGAUGGUUAAGUGCUACGAUUAAAAUAAAGAACAACUUAAUGAUUUUAAAUAAUGUUAUAUAAUUGAAAUGAUUCAAGAUUAUUAAGAACAAAAAUAAGUAGUCAUUAAACAAAAAAGUGAUGGAAAUAGUUGGUGACAGUGAUCGACAAUGAUAAAUGUGACUUGAAGGUUGAUGGUGAUGGUUGAGUGUAACGAUAAAAAAGUGAGGAAUGUCUUAAUGAUUUUAAAAUUUCGCAUACGAUUAAAAUGAUUCAAGCUUAUUAAGAACAAAAUUAAGUGGUCAUAAAAGAAAAAAAUGGUAAAUAGCUGGUGAUGGUGAUCAACAAUGAUAAAUGUCUCUUGAAGAUUGAUGGUAGUGGUUGAGCGUUAUUAUAAAAAUAAAUAACGCCUUGAUGAUUUUAAAAUUCCAUAUACGAUUACAAUGAUUGACUUUAGAACAAAAAUAAAUGGUCAUAAAAGAAAAAAAGUGAUAGGGUGGUUGGUGACGAUGAUCGACAAUGAUCAAUGUGCAUUGAAGGUUGAUGCUAGUGGUUGAGUGUUAGAUGAAAAUAAAAACAUCUUAAUGAUUUUGAAGUUUCGUAUACAAUUAAAAUAAGUCAAAACUUAUUAAAAACAAAAAUAAGUGGUUAUAAAAGAAAAAAAGGUAUGCUCAAUAAACUUAGAUAUAUAAAAAUAAUUCUGAUUCAAAUCUUUAUUAAAUGAAACAAAUUGAAUGUAACCUAAUCAUUCAGGCCAUAUUCAUCUAACUUUGUAUUUUUUUAUCCAAAAGUUACUUUUCUUUGUUUUGUUACACAAAAGUCAUUUAACUUUAUCUCAUCUUUCACAAAAGUCAUUUUGAUAUAAUUUGGCUAAAACCCUACCUAAAAUGUGAGAUUAAAUUAAAAAAAAAUCUGUUGUGUUUGAGGAUAGGUUAAAAAUAACCCCUCAAAUAUACUUUUGAGAAGUUUUGGUGCUUUAAGCUUACUAUAUGUGAGUACAUUUGAUUUUCUUCAAAUACUUAACAAACUCUAAUUGUUAAAUUUUAUAAAAAUCUAGAAAAAAAAAUUAAUAUUGAGUCACAUUAGAGGUUUAUUAACUGCAAUUUUUUAAAAUUUAUUACAGAAUUUGGUGUAACUUUCUAGAUUGAUUUAUUUAUUUGUAGAAUAAUUUCAUAGUCUCCUUCACAAAUUUCGUUUUUGAAAGUUGACCUCUCAUGUUACAUAUGAUACCACACUUAUUUUGAUUGUUUUGAUUUAUUUAUAACAAUUCUUAAUCUAUUUAUCACUAUACAAAACUAUAUACUUGAAAUUAAUUCUUUUAUAAAAUAAUUGAAAUACCAAGGAGUGGAAUACUUUUGUAAAUUUUUAAAAUUUUUAUUAUGCCGCCGUUAUCGAAUUUCAACAAAUCUUUCUACUCUGUCUCCAGCCUCUCCAAAAUAUCUAUCCUCCAAAACUUUUUAUUUUUUUAUUUCAUAAUAAGUAACAUUAUUUUAAUUUUUUUUCCUUUUACUAACUCUAUUUACUAAAAAUUAUUCUAGUUUACUUUGCAUAGUUAAUAUACUGAAAAUAAAAUUCAUAAAAAUUAUUGCAAAAUAAUUUAAAAAUCAUAUCUACUUAUUUAAUAGUGUGCUGAUAAUAUGAAUAAAAUAAUAUGUAGCAAAAGUUUAAAAAAAAUAUCUAUAAAUUAAUCAAACAAAAUAGUAUAUCACUAAAAGGGUAAGUAAAUGAAAAUGUAAUUAUUGCAUAUUUAUGAUAAAUAAAUUUUAAUUUAUUUAUUUUUUAUUUCAUCGUUUUUCAAUAUCGUUAAUUUAGUAGAUAAAGUUUGUUAAACAUAUGAAAAUAAAAUGAUUCAUUUUUAUUAGCAAUAUAGUGGAUCAAAACUACUUAAAAGUAUAUGUGAGGGGUCAUUUUGAAUCUACCUUUAAAUAUAAGAGAUCGUUUUUUAUUUCAUCUCAAAUUUUACAUAGGGUUUUAACCAAAUUAUAUCAAAAUAAUUUUUGUGAAAAAUGAGAUAAAGUUAAAUGACUUUUGUGUAGCAAAAUAAAGAAAAAUAAUUUUUACAUAAAAAAUACAAAAUUUGAUGAUCACCUGAAAUUUAGUCAAAAUUAAAGCCCCAAAGGGAUCAUGGGAUUGUACGUCUAAAAGUAGUGGUUCAAUAUUUUAAUGGGACCAUGGUCCAAGUGAAGGUGUUUAAAUUGUUCUGUAUUUUCUGUCGAAUAAGUUGUGGUGUUAACAAACACAUAAAAACAUGUUGUGUAUCUUUUAGUGGGACUUUACGUACUCAAUACAUGUCAUGAAGACUCAUCAUAUAAGAAAAACUAUACCUACUUCUUUGAUGCACGUAGAAUAAUUACUCUAGACAAAGUUUGAUUGCAUAUUUAGAACAUAAAUUAAACUAUCAUUUGGUAAUAAUACAGAUGAGAUAAUAUAUAUCGGAAUAUGACAUCACUAAUUUGUCCAUAUUUAGAUAAACCUCAACAUAACCAACCAAAAUAUAUAGUAUAUGUUAGGUUAAGAAUGAUAAUAUACCUUCAUGAUUUGCUUAUGUAUUCUAAAAUAAUACAUGGGAUCUGAAUUUUGGAUAUUAUUCUUCUAUAAUGUGGUCUACAUGGUAUACCAUUUUUAGUCACAAAUCAUAUCUUUGUAUUUCUCUGUGUUUUGUUAAAUUUUUUUUUUUUUUCAAUUUUCUUCGAUUAUACUCGAGACAAGCUCAUUAUAAUUUAGGACGUUGACGAUAUAAUAUGUCAUUUUGUAAUAAUAAAAAUGAGAUAAUAGACUCUUGAUAUUCUGCUGAAAAGAAUGAAUUAUAGGGUUAGAAUCAAGUUGGUGGCCAUGACACCAUUAAUUUGUCCAUAUGUAUAAAUAAGUGUCACAAACAAAAUGAAGUAUUUUGAUGUUAGGUUAAGAUGAUAAUAUUCAUGAUUUGCUUAUAUAUUCUAAAUUCUAAUACAUGAGAUCUGAUUUUAGGUUAUGAUGCUCAAUAAUGUGAUCUUCAUGAUAUCACAAUGAGUCACUAAUCAUAUCAUUCAACUUCUUUUCCCAUUCUUUUCGAUUGUAUAUAUUUUGAUCCCUCAUUUAUAAUAAAUCAUUAAAUGCAUGUCACGUGUUUUUAUAUAUAUAAACUUCUAUAUCACCAACUAUGAUUAACUAAUAUGUACAUGUUAUAUCUCAUUUAAUUAUUUAAUCGUGAACGAUAUUUAUAUACAUUUUCUAUCUUAUUUAAUCACUGCACCAUAAAUGAUUUAAUAUGAUUUGAUGCAAAUAAUAAUUAAGUGCGGCCAAGUAUUUACCAACUAAAUCCUAUAUAUACCAAAAAGAUAUAAUCAAUUAAAUAAUGUCGGGGAGAACAUUAUCAUGUAGAUCAAUGUUUUGCAGGCUCAGCCCAUAAUUCCAAGUUAGAUGAGAUUGCCUGGCUUAGAGUACAACAAUAUCAUCCUAAUCACUACAAUAUUUCAUUUUAAUAAAUUAUAGCCCAGAGGGGAAAUUAUUAAAGAAGAAGAAGGCAAGUAAAAAGAAAGAGAAGAUUUGCUUUUACUAAUCUAGGAAAUCAUUAAAAGUCCUUUGGCCAUGAAUAUUAUUAAUAUAUUUUGAAAUACAUUUUCAUGUUAUAUUUAUAAAUAUUUAUUUGAUCAUAAAUACUUCAAAAUAUAUUUUCACAAUAUUUGAAAAACGCCCCAAGUGUUUUCACUUUUCACUAGUUUUGAAUUCACUUUCUGCACUUUUACUUUAUUUAUUUUUCAAAAAAAAAAAAUAAUUUUUUGCUUUAAAAAAUAACUCAAUUUUCAUAAAACUCUAAAUUUUUUAAAAUUUAUUUUCACUUUUCAUAUUUUUUUUUUCAAUUUCAAAAAUACCUCAUUGUCAAAAUAAUAUGGUCAAACAUAAUGUUGGGUUCAAAAUCAAGAGAGCGUCAUGCGGAAGCUUAAAGUUUGCAAACGAUAGAGAUGAUAAAUCAGAUGACAAGCAAAAACAUAAUACUAAAAAUAUAUUGUUGAUAUGUUUGGUCAAAUGACCUACAUAUUAAAAAACUAAUAUUGAAAAAAAUAUAAAACCUAUUGGGAGAAAAUCCCCCCCUAAACAAAGACUCUUUAAUGACUACAUUGUGCAUGUUGUGUUGUUGUAUGAGAAGGGUUUUCUAUUUAUAGAUUCCCAAAACCUUUCCUCCAAAAAUGAGAUUUGUCAAAUAUGAAAAAGUUUUAUAUUUUUUUUCAUGAAAAUUAAAGUAAUUAUGGUAUUACUUUUAUUUUCCUUCUAAGAUAAAUAAAACUUAAAUUUGGUAAGAAAAUCAGGACAAAAAUCCUAACGCAUAACUCCAACUCCAUUUUCAACUUUAAAAAUAUAAAAUAAAGUGAAUAUUUUUUAAUUUUCAUGGUCAGGCGGGUCCAUUUGAUCCAUAUACCAAAAAUAAAUGUUUAGUUUACUCCUUCCGUUUCGUUUUACUUGACCUAUAUGCUAAAAGUAAAUUUUUUUUACUUAUAACUUGUCAACUUAUGAAAUUAAGAGAAUAUUAUUAUUUAUUUUUCUUUCUACCCUUAGCAUUAAAUAAGUACAUAAGUUAAUGUAGUAGUUUAAUUUUAGUAAACGUCAUAAGCAGGGUUAGUUUUGUAAAAUACAUCUUCAAUUAAAGAUUUCUUAAGGGUGCGACAAGUAAAUUUGGUUCAAGUAAAAUAAAACGGAUGGAGUACUUGUUCACUUUAACAAAUUAAGAAAAUUUAAUUAUAUUUUUUCAUACUAUCCUUAUUAUUUUAGUUACUACAUAAAAUAGUAGUAAUCAAAUGUAUAGUUCUAAAAUAUUUUAGUUACUACAUAAAAUAGUAGUAAUCAAAUGUAUAGUUCUAAAAUAUUUUAGUUACUACAUAAAAUAGUAGUAAUCAAAUGUAUAGUUCUAAAAUAUUUUAGUUACUACAUAAAAUAGUAGUAAUCAAAUGUAUAGUUCUAAAAUAUUAUUAAUAAGAUUAAUUUAGUAAAACACCUCUAAUUAAAAAAAAAAUUAAAAGGUUGCCGGAUCAAAAAAGAUCAAAUAAUAUGAAAGGAAUGAAGUAUCUUCUUUAUAGGUUUAUAUUAAGCGUUUGUUUAUUCAUGACAUCAGUAGUUUAAAAAGGUUAUCUUUAAUUGCUUCAUACUGAAAAAUCAGAAAUUAAUUAUUCCCUUGGUUCACUUUUAUUCGUCUAUUAUUGGACUUUGCGUGCCUCUGACGAAACAACAAUUAAUAUAGUAUUUACCCUAUUACUUAUAUUAAUUGAUGUAUAGACUUAGGUCUAAAGAUUAUUUCAGAAGUUAAAAGUCAGUUUCUUAAAGAUUAAACAAAAAUAUAUUUAAUGAAUUAGAAAGUCAGAUACAUCGUGAAGAGAACAAACUACUACUUAACUAGGAAACCGGAAUUCAACUGUUACAUUGAGAUAGGGGUGAGGUCAACUCCAAUAGUUAUUAUAGUUAAAAGUCAGAGACUUGUGAAGGAACCAAACUAUGGCUAACUUACAAACCAAAAGUCCACCCUUAACGUGAUCGUAACGUCGUUUAAUUAACUAUAAUUUGUCUUAAGAAUAUAUCAUCAUCAAUGACCUGAUAUGUUUGGUUUGGUUGUGUUAAUAUAGGUAUAUGUGACCAAACAUGUAUAUAUUUAGCAUAUAACAAAACAUAUUAGGUCUUUAUUUUGUAAAAAAGGAAAAAAAAUAAAAAAUUAGAAGUUUAGGUCGUUAAUGAUAUUUUACUCUCGUACAAAAAUCACUCUACAGACAUUAAUAAGCCUGUUGAAAAUUAGGGGUCCUUUGGUACAGCGUGUUAAAAAAUUUAAUGCAUGUAUUAUUCUUGUGUACUAGUAAUAUCUUGUUUGGUACUUUUUUUAGCCUAUGUAUAACUAAUGUUUGUAUUUAUUACACACUCUAUUGUGUAUUAAGCAAUGUAUUACUAAUAUCACCAAUUUUUUAUGUAUUAAUAAUAUAAAGAAUUUUAAUACAUGCAUUAAUUUAUUAAAUGACAAAAUUAAAAUCCGGAGCCAAAAGGGCUCUUCUUUUUAUCAAGAAUACCAAAGGUGAUAAUUAAAUUUGGAAAAAACUAAAACGGACAAACAGCCUGAGGAAUAACGACUUCUAAGUCGCCGGCCCAUCCGCGACUUGCAAAGAAGCACAGUACGGGCUGCUGUUUGUCAUCUGUGCAGUGUUGACUAAAGGAAAAUGUUUGUAUUCAAACACCAAUAAAGAAAAAGUACUUGUACUUUGCAUAAAACUAUCAAAUAGUUUUGCAAAACUCAAAAAUACUUUUCUCACACUCACAAAUUUAUUUGUGGUUUGUACUCUCUCCAUUUCAAAAUAAUUAAAUUAUUGGUGUAUUUUUUAUAUUCAAAAUAAUUGAAUUGUUUAUUGUUCAAGAUAGAUGUUGGAAAUUUUUUUUGAUUUUACCCUUCAUUAAUUAAAUUUUCAAGGAUAAGUUCCAAUGAUCAUUACUAAUGUUUUGGAGUUUGAAAAGGAUAAAAAUGAAAAAACAUAAUCAAUUUAUGUCUCUAUCUUUUUUGUAAGAUGUGUGUCAUAUUCCAAUAAUUCAAUUAUUUUGAAACGGAAGGAGUAUAAGAAAAGCAUAGAUAUGAUGCUAAUGGUAAUAUUUUUCUCAUGAUAUUUCUCAUGUAUAAGGAUGAUGUAUAAAUGGACAAUGUAUAAGGAUGAUGAUCGUAGAUGGGGCGCCAUGACGAUAAAAUAUUUGCCCCAACCCAUUUUCCGUAGUACCUACAUCUUCGUUCUACUAAAAUAAUCUUCCUUCUACUAAAAUACUUCCCCCAAGCCAUUUUUCAUAGUACCUGCAUCUUCUUUCCAUGGUAAUACAACUUAAAACAGCCUCUCUUUUUAUUUUAUUUUUUUUUGAAAACUCCAGGAAAAUCCGUAGCUGUUACACCCUCUUCCCCUCGGGUGAGCACUGUGUGUGCACUGGGUAAACCCCUCACUGUGCAAUAGCUCGCAAACCGCACAGAAGAUGUAAACCGCACUCGGUAAACCCCGUGCGACAAGCUCGAUUGAGAAGGCAUUAGGGAUGGAUCAAACCCGCGACCUUUGCUAUGGGAAGUCCCCCUCAAACCAACUCAACCACCCCCUUGGGGGCCUCUCUUUUUAUAUUAUCAAAAAAGAAUUGUGAGAAUAGCAACAUGGACAAUGACUAGAAUAGUGAAUUACGUGCAGCGAUAGCAGUGUGCGGCUUAUUAUCACACUAUAUUUUCUUCUUUCUUUUCGUUAAUCAGAUUACUCUUCUCCACUAAAAUUGGAUAUUUGGUUAUUGGGUAUGAAUUUGAAAUUGAAUUCUUUGUUUUUAGAGUUUAUGAAUCUAGGUAAAAAAGAUUUAGGUUUGAAGUUUUGAAUUUGUUUAAAUUGGUAAAGGGUUGAAUGUUAAGGUUUCAAUUGCUUUAAAAAAAAUCAGACAAAGAAAGUUAAAAGGGUAUUUUUGUUAAUAAAUAUUUUUUUUAUAAAAAUUAUAAUAUAUAUAUUGUUUCUAAUACAUCAAACCAAACAAUGUAUAAGAAAUAAUGUCAACAUAACUAAUGCAAGCACAACUUAUACCUACACUACUUAUGCAACCAUUACUAAUACAUCAUAUUCAACAUUAUUCUUAUACACUUUACCAAAUAAUCCCUAGAGUGAUGGCAUGUUGGUCCUUGAGCACUACUGAUUCAUGAGGUUAUGUCAAUAAAUUCCUAAGUUUAUACACACCAAACCUGAGAAGGUUCACUCUUUUUGACAGGAUGAAUCAACAUUUCCAUUUAAUAAAGGAGAAUCAAGAAAAAAGUGUGAUGUAGUAAUAGAUAGGAUUUUAUUUCUAACCUCUCAGUAACCAAUAUCAGGUGAGACAGAAAUUAUUUAGUCGGAAUUUUGAUGGUAAAAAAGAAACAAGAUCCUUAAUUAUUCAGAUCAUACUCAAAUCAUAUGUAUUGGUCAAUAUAAUCUUGUAUAUGUACCUAUUCUCCACGAGAACACGAGAAUUCUGUUUUUUUUUGUUAAAACGGCUAAGAAAAAAAAUCUACCAUUCCACUAAACUCUAUUCAAGAACUCAAGAAUGAACUAAUGUCCUAUUCAAGCAUCUCAAUAGAAAUCCCCGGAAUGGUAUUUUCCGUCGAAAUAACAUUCUUGCUUAUCUCGAUGAUCCUCGAUACAGAAGAGAAGAGUUCAAUCAAAAAAGGUCCAUAAAUAGGAGUACGGGGAAAAUGAAUUUUCUAUGUAAUUCAGUUGUUCUUAUAUGACACUACAAAAUUUUACAUCAAUGUGGGGAUGAAUAGUUCAAGUUAGCUUCAGAGUGCUUUCUGGUCUAGUCUCUCAUUCCAAUUCAGGCAGCGGAUCAAGCUACCAAACCAAUCACCUGUUUGGUCAGCCUUCUUGACUGUAGGAAGUGGAUGCUGGCUCAUACAUAUUCGAAUAGAAUCUCCUCUAGACAGUUGUUGUCGUCUCUUCCCAUCAAAGGAGACCCAAGCAUUGUUGCGUGCAUCCUCUGAAAUCUGUUUACAUGCAAAUCACUUAAGCUUCUAACAGAAUAGCAUGAAAUAAAGCAGUUGUGCCUUUGCUACCAACUCGAUACAUCCCACUGAAUCACGCAGAUUUCAUGGUGUGACAUCAAAUAUAUGCAUUCAUACAGGUGCCAAUAAUCAAAAAAAAGGGCCGACCCAGUUCAAUACCCACUUCGUGGGUGACUGGGGAAGGGAAUACUCUAGGCAGUCUUACCCCUGCUUUGCAGGGAGGCUGAUUCGAACCCCCGACCUGACACUCCACGGCAAGCAAGCUUACUGCUGAGCCAAGCCGUCCCUUCUCAGGUGCCAAUAAUCAAACAAGAUAUAAUGUUGUGCAUCAAGAAAUUGGACAUAGGUGCCAAUCGUCAAACAAGAUAGUUGUAUACAGGAUUUUUCACCAAGAGUACUCGACUCAGACAAAAUUUAAAGCAUCCUAAGAAAUGUAAAGUAAUUUAGAAAUCAUAUCAAUCUCCUUUUAAGAAUAUUGGCAAGUACAUCUUCUAGAAGGCUUAUAAAAAUCAAGCACCGCGCCGUCAACAGCAUUUAAAGAAAUAAAGAAUGAGGCUGUAGCUUAUGUUCGUCUCUUUACAGUCUCAAAGUAUUACAGGGCAGCCCGGUGCACUAAAGCUCCCGCUAUGCGCAGGGUCCGGGGAAGGGCCCGACCAAUUAGUAGUUGCAUAUGCAGAAAUGUGAACUGAAGGCAGUGUUUCUACAACAAUAAAUGCGAAAGAGACGACACCUAAGGGGCUUUAAAUGAACUGGCAAGCGAAGCACACACUUCUUCAAAGUGAAGCGCUCAAUUAAUGAAUUACUUAAAAUAUCUAGCACGAACAAAUUACAGCAUAAAGCAUCAGAUUGCAACAUUCAUUAUAAACUAUUGACAAUAAUAGUCAAACAACUCAAAUGAACAUCAUUGAGAUGUAAUUUCAACAGCAGCAAGAAAUUAAUUAUCAUAAAAUUGAUUUUCAACUUCUGAUUUUGACAAAUCAACCAUAAGAAUGAAUUAGCUAGCAACAUUCAAUAUAGUAACUUGCCCACGGGAGUAGAGGAGAAAUCAAAGAGAAGUCCAAGAUCAGAAGCAGCAGAAAAAAGGACGCACAUUGUAGAAGAAGAAAAAAAUUAUUGAUGUUGUAGAGAAUAUCCCGUUGUAGGCAAGAGUAUGGUUCUCUACAAAAGACAUCGAGUGGCAUGUGGAAGACUAGUCCUCAUUUGUAAUAAAGUAUAUUCCAUCCCUUCAAAACUCUCCCAUUUCUCUCUCCAAACUACUUAUACAAGCACCAACGAUGCUACAUUGAAUACUCUUGCCUCUUCUUUUCAUCAUUGUGAAUGAACAUUAGUAGUCGUGGCAUUAUUGUGGCAGACUUCUCUUAAUGUAUGCCGAACAAAUUCUGCACUAUCCACCACUAUCCGCCUUAACUGGCUCUUUACUUGCCCAAGCAAGAAUAGGUGGUUCAACAUUUACACAUGUAACACCACCUAACAUAUGCUCUUUCUUUCUCAAAUUGCAGCUGAAUAGCCCCUUAGUUACUUGCCUAGUAAAAAGGAAAAAUUUCGUCUGAGUUUUAAAUUCAAUAGUUAAGAAUAUGGAAUCGCACUUCCCUUUCUCCUAAAGGAUUGUGUACAAGCACCAUUCUUUUUUCCUUUCCAUAUCCAUUUGUAUAAUAAAGUGUAAUAAAGUUUUGGAAUUCAUCAGCUUCCCAGUUCUGUAGGAUUCAUAUAAAGAGUUUCUCCAUUGUGUAUAUUAUGUACUUGGGCAAUUGUCUUUUUCUGUCUGCUAUCUAUAUACCAACUACAGUUGGGGAAAAUUAUCAGAAUGUCAGCACCACAUCAUUAUUCUUGCAAAAACCGGACUUAGUGUUUACAUCCAACCUUGAUUUCAAAAACAGACUGUGCCAUCAUAACUAACUAUCCGUUCACUUUCCCUUCUCGUCUCUAUAUUCCCCCAACUCAUUCAGCUGCAUAAGUGCCCAAAAAGUAAAAAUAUAAUGUAUUAAAGUACUAGCACUAGCAUUUAAAAGUAAUUUAUUCCAUAAUUAUUAAUUCACUGAGAAGGACACCUUUAAUACCAGCCUUGCUGAGUCUGGAAGAGUGACGGUCUGGACGAGAGUGAGCGUGGGCAGCUUGGUGUGAAGAUCAUGCAAGGAACACUUGGGUGCACCUGCAUGAGAUCUGUCUACUUCUAAGCUUGCUAUUUUAUUAUUCCUUUAACUUUCAUUCUUUUGAAACCAAAGAAAGCCAUCCUUAAAAUAAGUUGGUUAUUUUCUUUUGAUAGAUACCCUUGCCAAUGGCAGUAAGAGCCAAAAUAACUUUAAAUUAUUUUCUGAAGUCACAACUUAUCAAUCUGUUUUUUGCUUUUAAUGGAUCCAUCCCUCAAACUCUUUUUCACUUAAGCACCCUCACUUGUUUCAGUAGUAAGGAUUCUAACUCAUGACAAGUGGUUAGAAUACAUUCCGCGUUUUACUACCUCAGUCAUUGAAUCAAUGACCACGAGGUAAACAAAAGACAACUAAGUUAAACAAAGAAGAAUCAUCCCACUUUCAUGGAUUGGUUAUCACAUAGUUCAAGACGUCCUCCUAAAGCACACAACUAUAGGAUCCUGAGUUAAGAGAUCACUAAUGACCAAGAUACACCAAUUCUCCUAUAUUCCUACUCAAAUAUUGUUUUUUCAGUUAUUACUCUUCCCUUUUUUUUUUUGGUAAAUAGUUCCAAUUCAGUUAAGGUAUUCAUUAUAGGGCUUAUAAUUAGGAAACUAGGUCCAAAAAGCAGCAGUGCCCAGAAAGUAUUAACGAAUAUCAAGGUAAUAGCACUAGUAAUUAAGAGAACUUAUUUUAUGACUAUUAAAAUAUUUACUGAGAAAGUCACCUUUAGUUCCAGCCUUGCAGAGUCGGGAAGAAUCACAGAUCUGAAUGAGAGUGAAUGUGGGCAGAUUGGUGUGAAGAGCAUGCAAGGAACAUUUGGGUGCACCUGCAUGACAUAAAUUUCCUUGUGAUAUACUAGUCUAGCAUCCAACUUGGUCAAGACAAAACAAUCAACUAAAACUAACCAGAAGGAGCACAAUUUUGAGUGGUGCUUCAUCAACAAUCAAAUGAACGACAAACAUAUGAUUUCCAAAAUUUACAAAUAGAUCAAUAGCAAAACCAACUCACUACAAGAUGCAAUUUGAAGAUUGCGAGAGUGAAAUGAAAGAAAUCAGAAGGAAGUCUUCACAAAGCUAAAACUGCUUAGUAGUCCACUGAAAGCUCAUUUGUUUAACAUAGUUCCGCCAAUUUGUUUUUGAUGCCGAAAAACAGUUCAUACUUGCUGACAACGUGAUUGACUGCUGCAGUUUAUGGCCUUAUUGCACACAUUGACACUAAGAGUGACAGUUUAUGAGAUAAUUUUAUGAUAUCCACUAUUCUCAAUCAGUAAAACAAAUAUGAGCUGAAGACAAGAUUAUGCAUUUAUUGCUUUAUCAUGAAUAAUAAGUAGGAAGAGAAAAGAAGUAAACAACUUGAUCAAUAUUAGAUUAUGUACAGCAGCUAAGAACCAUAAACAUCAAUACCACUGAAUACAGAACCAUAUAAAGAAGUCUUGCCGUUGGUGUUUUUGGUAAUCAAUGAUAGGUUUUCAACCUUUUCCAGAAAAAUCAAUAGUAGGUUUCUAAUCAGGAACCCAAAUGCGACUAACUCAGCAGCUUUCACCCACAUAUUCAAAGUAAUCUUUUCAUCUGUUUCAGUUUUAGUGUCCGCUUGCAUCCCUCCAUUUCCACAUCAAGAGUUAACUAUUGUCAUGAGGAAUCACUCUUCUACCAACAGCUCUUUAAAAUAUGUCAUGAAACUUAUAAUCUUUACUAUAUUAAGUGCAUAAUGCAGUCUUCUUUAUUUUCCUAUCUCUUCUGCUCCUAUUUCGUCUAGAGAGGGGAAGGAGUAGUGUACUGCUUCUCUAAGGUUCUUUUUCAGCAGUUCAUUAUUGCCACAACAAACUGCUCAAGCUGUAAACCCUCACAACUUACAACCGCUGUAAUUCAGCUUUAGCUUAUUCUUUGCUGUGGAUGCAACUCAUUGCUUGUGGCAUUUUCAGCACACAUAUGUUCAACUAUUCAUGUAGGUUAAAAAGGUUCACAUCUUUCAGGCUAUAAUAGGUACCAUGGAACCUCCAGCAGCCGUAGACUAAGCCGUACUUCCAGUUGGUGUGGCUACUAUAACCCCAUCAGCUUGCACCUGCCAAAUAACAUAAAUGGAGUCAGGUAUCUCCAUAUUCUCUAGCUCCGUAAUCAAGUGGAUACUUGUUGAAAUAAAAUAGGAAGAUCCAUAAAGCAUAUGAAAAAUGGGAUUCUUUUGUUCUUCUCAAGGGGCAGUGGGGUGGCUGGCAGUUACGAAAAUGCACCUUUGUAAUGAGGCGGUCAUGUUCAUAACACUCAAUUUUGGAGAGAAGGAUUAGAACCACGAUCAACUACAACUUCAUUUAGGACAUCGAACACAUUUAGGACAUCGAACACCUUUCCAGGCAUUGCCUUCCCAUUUCUGAAUAUUUCACAUCGAAGACGCAUUCGCAGAGUUAUAUAGACACCAUCCAGAGUUCUGUUCCCAUGAAUGACAUGUCUUAGAUCCUUCUUAUAAUCCUCAAACUUUUAUGAAUUACUAAGAAGAAAAAGUAAGAGGAGAGACUUUCCAACUGAAUUAAGAAUUAAAUCAUAACAUUGUCAGUCAAAGAGCAUACUGUAUGGGAAGUGAGAAAUCCAAGGGAUCCUAGAUUAAAUGACACAACAGGUGGGAUAGCACCUCGAAAUAAUUUAGAAGCAUGGAGUAUAACUCCAUCUCCUCCGAGGCAGGCAACAAAAUCAACCCUUUCAUGAAGAUCACUGCAUUAGGUACAUCAGGCAAGGUUAGCAUUUUUCUCUGAAGUAAAAGAAGUGAACCGAGACAAACAAACAAAUACAUGAAUAAUGCUAUCUAUGCAAACAGUUUAUGAGUCAUCCCACCUGGUAUCUUGACUAUAAAAGGUCUGAACAAAUCCGAACCCUGGAAUUCGUGCAAAUAUAUCAUGCACCUCAGGUUCAACAAGAACAUUCAUUUUUUCUUGGUAAUACAAGAAAACAGCAACCUUCAAAGAAGAAUUAGAAAGAAAAUAGAAAAGCAAAUGAGUUAAAACUAUGAGAUAGUAAAUUACUUGCUAGAGAUACUUAUAUAAAGUAAAUGCAAGACCAAGUAUUAUAGAACGAUAGGGACAUUGUUUCCACUAUAUAAGCAUGCUGAAAAAGAAAAUAGUGAAUAGAAGUAUAUAUUUUCUGAAAUAUAGAACCUUCAACGAUAAGUUCGAUACAUGAAUCAUAGAGCUAUGCAAAACAAGCUGAAGUUGAACGUUCUCAAAAUGAGAAAAAAAAAUGGAGGAAAAUCCACAUGGCCUAAGCUAACCAAAAUUCACUUGGGAAAAAUUAGGAAAGUGACUUGCAUGACACUCAAAUCCAUCAUGUAGGAGGGAUGAAAGUCAGCGGAAAAGUUCAAAAUGAUUAGAGAAAACUAAUGGUCAUAUAUUCGUUUCUCAAGUUGGUUGGUGGAUACAAAAUUGGACAAAAGUAUAUGGAUUCAUAUUACAAAUGAUUGACAGUCACUACAAGUUCAUUCACAAAUUAACGGCAGCUUUUGUAAUGUGUUUGUUUAUGCUAAUAGGUUGGAAUAGUAUGACACGGGAACAUAUGCCGAGCAUAUUCCUUUUUUCUUUUUGCUGAUUAAGAAUAAACAGGAGCAAGCAGGCCCACUUGAUCUCUCAAUCUGGAAUUUUCAAAAUAUAUACAUCGAGUUUACAGAGUAGAAAAGAUGAUUGUGUGGCCCAGAAAUUUCAAGCGAGCCAAAAUAGAUGUCUUACUAUCAAGGAAAAUCCUUUGAGGUCUUCCUUUCAAUUGUGGAAAAAACAGAUAUGGGCCCUGCUAGAGUAAAUUAGCAGCUCUAUAAACCUACUGAUAACUGUAUGCAUCCUCACGAAAAACAAAUAGGGAGAGCAUAUCAAACAGAGUCCAAGAUCAAUUAAUGAUAACUGUGUACGCACCUCUUUGACUUCUUCCAAGAGUUCUUGUCCCAGCUUCUUUAGAAGGAGAACGGUCUUUGGCAGGGAUUUCCAUAAAAGCAUCUGCUGCUGGGUGCUAGGAUGAGUGAAGGCCAAGGAAGAUUCUGUUACCUUUUGAUACGGGAAUGACAAUGGAAACACGAAAUCACACUCCAAAAUCAGUCCACUAAUCUUAAGGAUUCGAGGACCAAGAUGGAGACCACACUCGGAUUCGCUACCAACAACAAGAAUACAAGAUACAAGGGUGUAUUUCAACACCAAAACAGCUAUAAAACGUGAUGAACAAUAUCAACAACAAUAACACAAGUUUCGGAUUCAAGAAAUGACCCAAAACAGUCCACUACACAAGAUAACAACAACAAAAGUAAAGGAUAGAUAGUGAGACCAAGAUUAUUACAAGAUUAAGAACUAAAGAGUGUAUUAAACUCAAAAACCCUAAUGAAUGUAAUACUCAAAACCACACUCUUACGGUGACCGCCAAGGGAAUCAACUCACCUCAAGAUCCACCGUUUCCAAGCAAAGAACAAUGUUAGCUUUUCCAAGCCCUAUACUAGAACUACACUAAGUUGGUCUAUUCUCAAGAGAGAGGAUUUUAAGUGUUUCAAUAUUUCAUCUUUCAUAAACUAAAGAGAAAAGACCAAAAAUGCACUACUUAUAGUAUAUUACAAAAGUAGACAAAAAGACCACAUUACCCUUAAUGACUAAGGGUGGCCUCGAUGUGUUGGAAGACAAUAUGAAUUGUCCAAAAUGCCCUUAAAGCUAAGUGACCAAAAUGCCCUUAGUAAAGGGAACCAAAACUGUGAAACAACAAAGGUGGUCCAAACCCGAGAGUCCUUAAGUCUUCAAGGCUCCAAGCAAUCUUCCACACUUGGGUUUGAUCAAUGGUAGGCUAAAAACGUCCCCUCCAAGUAUGAUCCCAUGCCCUCCAUGCGACCAAAGCUUGAUUCUUCACAUAGUGACUUUGAAUGAUGUCGUCAAAAGCUAAGGCGGUCAUUAUUCUUGUAUCAUCCUCCUCUUCUUGAAAAGGAUUCGACCUCGAAUCCAAACCUUGCAAAACUGAAGAGAGGGCAAACAAAUACAAACUCCUCAUAGCAUGAGGGUUAGGGUAAGCACAAUAAAUCAUCUCAACAUGCCAAGGUUGCACAUAUUUGCAAUAUAACCAAGGAUCCUUUGAAUUAAAUAUAAAAAUCUCAAUAAAAGGUUCACAAAGGAUAUGGUUACAGGAAUCACCAAGAGAUACAAAAACUACAUAGGUCCUAAUGGCAUCAAAUAAUCCACAAGGUAGAACUUCCUUCAUCUUAUGAGCCAUAAGACACCAUUGCUUCUUUAUCUCGUCAAAAGACCACACCAAGGGGGUGUUUCGAUUGGUUCUAAAGUCCAUAAAAUCCAUAUAGCAUUAUCACACACACACAUGGACAGACCAACAAACUUCCUACCUCNNNNNNNNNNNNNNNNNNNNNNNNNNNNNNNNNNNNNNNNNNNNNNNNNNNNNNNNNNNNNNNNNNNNNNNNNNNNNNNNNNNNNNNNNNNNNNNNNNNNNNNNNNNNNNNNNNNNNNNNNNNNNNNNNNNNNNNNNNNNNNNNNNNNNNNNNNNNNNNNNNNNNNNNNNNNNNNNNNNNNNNNNNNNNNNNNNNNNNNNNNCACAUUCUUUCCUUCAAAAAACUAGACAACUUGGCAUCCACAAGUUGGAAUUCAUGCAAUUUAGGCACAAGUGUGUCAAAUAAGGAUGCACAUUUAGAAACAUUACCCCAAGGAGUCAAUGACACAUUUGUCCUCGAGUUUUCACGAAGGACUACACAUUCCUUAUCCAUAAGAGUACUCUCUUCUUUCAAAAAGAGAUUUCCAUCUUUAGGAGGAAUAUUGUCACACCAUAGUGGGUUAGCAUAUCGGCUAUAGCUUCCAAGGCAAGCUAUACCUUCAUUUUCACCACUAGGCUCAUUAGGAGUGUUUAUAUCAUCUUCAAAUAAGACAUUAUANNNNNNNNNNNNNNNNNNNNNNNNNNNNNNNNNNNNNNNNNNNNNNNNNNNNNNNNNNNNNNNNNNNNNNNNNNNNNNNNNNNNNNNNNNNNNNNNNNNNNNNNNNNNNNNNNNNNNNNNNNNNNNNNNNNNNNNNNNNNNNNNNNNNNNNNNNNNNNNNNNNNNNNNNNNNNNNNNNNNNNNNNNNNNNNNNNNNNNNNNNNNNNNNNNNNNNNNNNNNNNNNNNNNNNNNNNNNNNNNNNNNNNNNNNNNNNNNNNNNNNNNNNNNNNNNNNNNNNNNNNNNNNNNNNNNNNNNNNNNNNNNNNNNNNNNNNNNNNNNNNNNNNNNNNNNNNNNNNNNNNNNNNNNNNNNNNNNNNNNNNNNNNNNNNNNNNNNNNNNNNNNNNNNNNNNNNNNNNNNNNNNNNNNNNNNNNNNNNNNNNNNNNNNNNNNNNNNNNNNNNNNNNNNNNNNNNNNNNNNNNNNNNNNNNNNNNNNNNNNNNNNNNNNNNNNNNNNNNNNNNNNNNNNNNNNNNNNNNNNNNNNNNNNNNNNNNNNNNNNNNNNNNNNNNNNNNNNNNNNNNNNNNNNNNNNNNNNNNNNNNNNNNNNNNNNNNNNNNNNNNNNNNNNNNNNNNNNNNNNNNNNNNNNNNNNNNNNNNNNNNNNNNNNNNNNNNNNNNNNNNNNNNNNNNNNNNNNNNNNNNNNNNNNNNNNNNNNNNNNNNNNNNNNNNNNNNNNNNNNNNNNNNNNNNNNNNNNNNNNNNNNNNNNNNNNNNNNNNNNNNNNNNNNNNNNNNNNNNNNNNNNNNNNNNNNNNNNNNNNNNNNNNNNNNNNNNNNNNNNNNNNNNNNNNNNNNNNNNNNNNNNNNNNNNNNNNNNNNNNNNNNNNNNNNNNNNNNNNNNNNNNNNNNNNNNNNNNNNNNNNNNNNNNNNNNNNNNNNNNNNNNNNNNNNNNNNNNNNNNNNNNNNNNNNNNNNNNNNNNNNNNNNNNNNNNNNNNNNNNNNNNNNNNNNNNNNNNNNNNNNNNNNNNNNNNNNNNNNNNNNGGAGAAGACAACUUUGACCCUCUCGGUAACCUUAAACCCGUCCAAGAAGUAUGGAACGAGUAAAGGCUCGCAAAACAACCCCAAGUAGUCAACCAUGGAUGGAACGAUGUAGUUUCUAUAGUACCUAUCAUUUAACACAACGAGGCAUCCCGGUAUCCCACAAAUGGUCACCUUUCCGGAGUGUACACUCCUUCUUGGAUCAACAUUAUAAAGGACACAAGUACCCCUCGGUUUUGGAGAUGCAUACCCUCUUCUUCUCGUUGAACAACCUCCACUAGAGCUAGUAUAACCAUUCACACUAUAUCAAUCUUGAUAAGAAGUACUAUAAGGAGGAGAAUAUAAAUCUUCACACUCCUCACGUGCACUUUCAUCAUAGCUCUCAUAAGCUUUGCGAACGAAAGGGUAAUACCUAACACCAAAUCUAAGUUUGGAGUGAGAAGUGUAGGACUCCUCACAUGCCCCAACGUCAUGAUAAGAUCCAUCACGAGGUCCUAAAUCAUCUCCAAAGUCACCAUAAGCACUAGGCACUUCAUGCACCUCAUUUUCUCUCUCAAAACAGUAACUUUCAAAUCUUCCCAAGUUUCGAUCAUGGCUAUUUUUAUAGCCUCCGCAAUCUCUCUCAACUUCGUAGCCAUAAAACCCCUCACUACAACCAUAGUCUCCCAUGUUGUAGUCACAAUAAUCCCCGGCUAUCGAAGACAUAUUCCCCUUAUAUCACCUUUUGAACCUACAAAAUGAACAAACAAGAUUAGUAGUAAAAGCUCCUCACCAACACUCGUAUAUUCACUCACUUUUGUGAUCCUCACAAUUGGAGCGGCGAAUAUUGAAAGUUGCUUAUACUCCGGCAGUCAAUAAGAUAUCAAUUCUACUUGGCGGCCGGAAUGGAUUCUUGCUUGAUCGACUCAAGAAACAAAACAAAAUUUACUUACGAACUUGAAACAAAGAAGUUACUAAAAGUUAAAAAUGAGAAAAGCAAACAAAUAACGAAGACACGAAGAAACUGAUUCAAUAAUUAAACUACAACUAAGUAGGUGAUUAAUAGUUGUUAAUUAAUUCUAGAAUCAAGACAUGAAACUAAUGAAACAAUAAGCUGAAACUAAGAAUCUAAAAUUUGAGCUCGAAAAUAUUGCGUGAGCAGUAGCAGUGAUGACGUGGCAGCCACGUAUUGGUUCGGUCUUAUCAAGUGGUUAUUCUCAAAGGUUUAAGUCUUGAUCAAAAAUUAAUUUAGAUUGGUGGAAUUUGUUUUAGGAGGGAAAAUAAGUCUUGACGCCUUUUUUUCAAGUUUCAAAUUUCAAGACUUGACUUUUGUAGUACUUUUCCUUAAAACAUGGACCCUUGUUUCAUGGGAAAGUGGUUGAGAAGUGAUGUAAAGUCUUUAGUGUAUAGGAAAAGUCUUUGAGUCACAAGUACUACACCUUGAAACUUGGAUCUAUGUCUUGNNNN
Molecule: long non-coding RNA, 47039 nt
Filed under: Capsicum annuum
Lineage: Eukaryota; Viridiplantae; Streptophyta; Magnoliopsida; Solanales; Solanaceae
Description: long non-coding RNA (CANN_LNC006618)
Source: RNAcentral